CUUCGUGACGACCAAGGGUUGAUGGGACUUUUCGGAUCAAUGGAUUGCAUGUGCCGUUGGAAGCUUUGACUAAUGACUCGAGAUUCGCUAAUUCGCCCUUCCAGCGUAGCAAGUCAAUACAAAUGCUCACGAAAUCGUUGUUGUUGGUGAUUGUUUGAUCAGUGGAAACUGCUCCGACGGCGCCGCCUCCUUCCUCCGUGGAAGACAUUUUCAGGCUGAGCGGUUGGAAGUAAUAAAGAAGGUGAUUUUGUAAACUGCUUUUGGCUGAGUGAGUGAUGUUGGAGAAAAGGUGGCAAAAUGGCUACGAUGAUGACAAAUAUUUUAUAGCCUACAUGAUAAACAUAUAUGGGAAAUACUUAAGGUGUAAUUCAAAUUUACCCUUAGUGUUUAUAUUUUUACUAUAAUUUUAAUUUUUUAAUUAAAUUUAUUUCUCUUUUGAAAGAGUCAAUGAUAAAAAAAGAAAAGAAAAGUUAAAUUAAUGUUUUUUAACAAAAAUAGUAACAAAUAUUAAAAUUGUGAAUAACAUUAUAGAACUUAAAUACUCAACGCAACUCAAGAAACUAAUGGUGGGUCUGGAUGGGCAGUGCGGUGCGGUGCGUUUAGCCUACUUUUUGUCUCAUGCUACAGUGUUGCUACAGUAUCUAAUCUCACCGCCACCACUGUUUUUACACUAACCACAGGUAAACGCACCGUCCAUCCAAACUCACCCUAAGACCCUAUCAAAGGGAGAAUUUUAUAUCUACAACACUUCCUAAAUUUCAUUAGCUUAAUAAUAGCUAUUCAAUUUUUUUUUUCAUUUUUUUACUUAAAUUAUUUUUACUUACUUUAUAUUAGAUAAAUUAUUCCAAAUAUUUAAUAUUUUACAUAUAAUAAUUGCAUUUGUUAUUCUACCUAACUCAUGAAAAAUCUCAAUUUUGCAACAUCACAUGCCAACCAACCAAUUUAUUAUUCACAUUCCAACUUUCUAAAUGCAUCAAAUAUUUCAUAGCAAAGAUCAUGCCAAGAACCCACAUGCAAAGUCAUUAUAUACCACAUUAAACUACAUUUAACUCAACAAGACUUUUACAUAACCAAAGAUUACUCCAAACGUUUAUACGCAUUGACUCAAAAUGAUAAAAAAUAAACUACCAAAUUGAUGAGAAAAUAGUUUAAGCUUAGAACAAUCCAACCGACGUGUUCUACAAGAUAACAACCUAAAAAAAAAAAAGAAACAAUGAGAUACGCAUAUAAUAUGUUUAGUAAACUCAUAUGAAAAGUAAAACUUACCUAGAUCAAUUGAACAUAAAAAAUUACUCAAUAAGCUAUCGAAUUAAUUUUUCCUUAGCACUUAUAUAUAUAUAGUACAUGUAACAACAUUUCAAGUCAAAAGUGUUAGAUACAAUGUUGAAUCAUAAUCCUGUCAACAUUUAAAACAUAAUCACAUAGCAAUCUAUAUACCAAAUUUCAUCAAUACCAGUUCAUUUUCAAUUCAAGACUUAAUUCCAUUUCCAACCAUUUAAUCAUCCUCUGAUGGAACUACAGUAAAAAAGACCUAGGUACAUGGGAAUAUUUUGCUGACACUGUAACGAACUUACUCACAAAAGUUGACUUUAUAUUGGAAUUGUUCACACAAGUUAACUUUGUAAUUUAUAUAAUGUAAAAUUUAAGAUUUUUAUAUUAUGUAAAUCAAAGCUUAAUAUUGCAUAACUAAUUAGUUUUGAGUUUUCAAAAUAAUAUGGCUUUAUAAAGAUAUAGAAUUCUUGAUAUAAGUCUUAACAAGGGAAAAAUUAAGGAUAGGAAAAUUGUGGUGGAAAGGGGGUCAAUUUCUCCUAAACAGGUGGAGAUCUGGAGAAGGAUAAGAGAAGGAAGAUGGUUGAUGUGAAGGCUAAGAGUAAUUGUUAAAGGUUGCUAACAGGGAGGAUCCCUUUCUCAUGAAGAUGAUUUUUAAACACCGUGUUAAUUGUUUAUGGGCCAUCAUGUUUGACGAUAAUUUUUAAAUACUGUGUUAAUUGUAUAUAGCACAUCAUGUUUGACAAUAAAUUUUAAAGACUUUUAAACGUCGCAUUAAUUGUUUAUGGCCCAUUGCCCAUGUUGCUUUUAUUAAAAUUUGGGUAAACUAUAAGUUAAUCACUUAAUUUUUAUAAAAUUUCAUUUUGGUCUCAGGAUAAAACAAAAAUUAGGAUAAAUGUAAUGUUGAAAUGAAUAUAGUGGGAAUCUUUAAUGUUUAUGGCCAAACCCCACCUCUCCUAUCCUAUACUUCAUCUAUCAUAAUGAUUCUUGGCUUCUUCUACAAUUGCCUUCACAAAAUGAAGCUGACAUUUGAGGUUGUCCUUCAUUUACUUUUGUUUUCUUCCUAUGAUAUAAAUGCAAGUAGAAUAUAAAUUAUACAUUUGUAAUUAGAUUGAAAAAUAAUUGACACUUGAUUUGAUUGUGAAAGAAGUUUUAGUUUAAUGAAAUGAAUGAGUUAAAUUUUAAAUUUAUAAUAUUUAACUUGAGUGUGAAUGAAUUUUUGACUUAAUUGAAAAUUGAAAAUUUUAUAAAUUUUGUUCAAAUUUAUUUUGAUUUAAUUCUCAUAUUGUAUAUUCUUAAUUAAAUUCGGAAUAUAUCAAUUUAGUCAUACAUUGUAACGAUGGAUUCGAAUUAUAGUUAAUUAUAUAUUGAAACUAAAAAUCUUAGAUUUUUAUCAACAUUUGCCGCCUCAUUUAUGGUGAAUGGUAUAUUUCCCAUUUGGUCCCCCUUUCUUUUUAUUAAUCUAUAAUUCUACUUCUACCCCCAUUCAAUUUAGCCCUUUUUCCUAAUUUCUCUUAAUUAAGCUAAAUUCACUUAAUUAAAGCCUAAUUAAACACACAACUAGCCUCACAAAUAUUCUUAAUAAAUACUUACGAACUCGGUUCACUAAGACGGAGGCCCUAUAACUCACUUUUCUAGUGCCCGUGAAUUUUGGAUCAUUACACCUUCUUCCGUGGACGACAUUUUUAGGCUGAGCGGUUCGAAGUAAUUAACAAGGUGAUUUUGUAAACUGUUUUUGGCUGAGUGAGUGAUGUUGGUGAAAAGGUGGCAAAAUGGCUACAAUGUUUCUAUAGCUUAUAAAAUGAACAUACGGAAAAUCUUUAAUUAAGAUUUAAAUGUAUAAAAGUAUAAAUUAUAAUAGUAAAAUUGUACUUUAAUCUUAUAAAUCGCAAUACUUUAAUUUAGUUAUUUAAAAAAUUAGAAAUAUAUUAGUUAAUAUAAUGAUAAAAUUACGUUUUAACUUUAUCAAAAUUUAUAACUUAAUUUCAAUCCAAAUUCUUACUUCACCCUUAUUUCCGCACUAAUAAAAGUUAUAAUCUGUGUUAAAUAUCGGAUUAGUAUAUGGAUGAUAUUAAAAAUAUAUAUAAAAAUAUAAAAUCUCUAAAAGCUUAAUCAACACACAUUCAGGUGUACGCUUUUAUUAAACUUUGAUUUUUUUAGUACGAGAUUAUCUGGAUUCUUUAAAAUAAUGUUAUGGAUAAGUUUUUGUUUAAUGUAUUGGUUGGUUUUUUUUUUUUUUCCUUUUAGAUUUGAUGAAUGAUAGAUUUUUGUUUGUGAAGUUUAUCUAUGAAUAUUUAUAUAAUUAUUAAUAAUUUUAUAUUUAAAAUUUAUUUAAUAUUUUAAAAUUUUAUCGAUAAUUUUGAAAGGAUAUAUAAAAACAAAUCGAUAUUGAUAUGUAUCAAUUUCUGUAGAAAAACGGUGCGUCCAUCAGUGCAAUACUAACUACCUUGGAUAAGAAAACAUUUAAUCCUUAAAUUUGGCAACUUUUCUCAACUUAGUCAUUAAACUUUUUUUUUAUCUACACUAGUCUUCUAACUUGACAACUUUUCUAAAUUUUGAUGCAUGUGAUGACAUCGCAUUCUGAUUUUGUAUCAUAGGGGUGUUCGAAUUUCGAUUAAAAUUGAAUUAACUGACCGAACCAAUCUAAUUCAGUUAAUCAGUCAGUUAAUCAAUCUAGUUCUAUCAGAGGUCGGUUAAAAGUUUUUUGGAAUUUCGGUUAAUGGUUAAUUUGAUUCGAAAUUAGGUAAUUAACUGAAUUACCCAAACUUAAUAAAUUAGACUUGUAGGCUAGGAAGCACAGACACGGCUCAUCCCUCCUCGUACCGGUAUCGUACGUGUGUCCGACACAGACACUCGACGGACAUGCCUAGAUACGUAUGGAACAAGCUGGAAUAUGCCAAAAAAAAUAUUUUUUUUAUUGCCAUAUCUUGCUGUAUCCGUGUCCUUAUUUUCUAAAAAUUACCAUGUUGCUGUGUCUGUAUCAUGUCGUACCCGUAUUGCGUGUCUGUAUCCAUGCUCCAUAGCUUGUAGGUAAGGGCCGAACAAAGAAUCCAGUAAGGCACUAGUCUAGAAUAAGGAGUUAGACCAAUUGAAUCGAGUUAAUGAAUUGAUUUUCUUUAUAUUUUUAAUAUAUCUUUAAUAUUUUUAAAAUUUUAUAUGAUUUAACCGAGUGGUUAAUCAAUAAAAAUUGAGAGUCUAAUAGAUUUAAAAAAAAAAAAAACCUUUUUAACAUAUAUAAACUCCAAAAAAAUAUUCUUUUUUAAAUUCCUUAAAUUACCUGUCCUGCUGAUGUGAUUCUGGCUUUUUAACAGUAUUGUUGGUGAACCCUACGGUUGCCUCCAUGAACUUUUUGUCAUCGUUCGAUCUUGUAAGCAAUUCAAGAACACGAAAAGGUAAUUGGUUUUCCAACAAGAACAGAUCCGAGUACUCAAAUGUCAGCAGUUCGUUUUUAAUAGACAAUUCGUUCGACAUAUGCUCAUAAUCUUGGCCAUCAACAUCAUCAUUACCGUAACGAUAUAAACUGCUUGUAAAAUUGUGCAGCCGUCAACGAGGAACAUCCAAGCCAGAUUCUCGUUAUCGUUGGUAUACUUAUCUAAUUCCUUUGGAUCAUAGCAUUUCUUCAAGUCAUCGAUCUCUGUCUUAAUGUUGUUGUACAAGGUUCCCCUAUCGACGCCAAUGUUUUUGACGAAAAGUGUUGUUAAUUUGCACUUGAGCUUCUUGGAUUCAUGGAGGGUGGGAUCAGCGUGGUGAGUGGACCGAUUGAGAUCACUUUCGGCUUGAAAUACUUCCUGAAAUCUUCGUGACGGCCAAGGGUUGAUGGGAGUCUUCGUAUCAAUGGUUUGGCUUUGGGGUCGAGUUGUUUGCCGUCGAAAGCUUCGUCUAAUGACCGGAGAUUCUCUAAUUCGCCAUUGCUGAGAGUGAGCUCCGUACCCGGCAUUGGAAUGAUCGUCUCUUGGGGAUUGUUGGUGGUGGUGUUUUUGGUGAUUGUUUGAUCAGUGGAAACUGCUCCGCCGGGAGCUCCGACGGCGCGGCCUCCUUUCUCCGUGGACGACAUUUUCAGGCUGAGCGGUUCGAAAAAAGGUGAUUUGGGAAACUGUUUUUGGCUGAAUGAGUGAUGUUGGAAAAAAGGUGGCAAAAUGGCUACGAUGACGACAAGUGUUUCUAUAGCUUAUAUAAUAAACGUAUGGAAAAUAUUUUGGUGUAAUAUUAAAUUUAACCCUUAAUAUUUAUAUUUUUUUAAUUUGAUUCUUAUUCUUUUUAAUUAAAUUUAAUUCUCUAUCUUUUGAAAGAGCCAAAUUUGAUUACCAAUCUUUUAGAAAAGAGUUGAAUUAAUAUUUUUUAAUGAAAACAGUGAUUAAAAUAUUAAAUUUGUAAACAUGACAACUCAUAUGGUAAUCCAUGUGUACAUAUUUUUUAUUUUUUAUUUUUAAAUAAUUUGUUGACGUGUGACAUAUAAGAAAAGCAGUGUUAUGUUAGCACGAAGUGCACAUGGAUUGCCACACGAGUUGUAACACCAACACCGUUAAAAAUUUAAUAUUUUAGUUAAUAUUUUUGUUAAAGAAAAACAAUUUAACUCUUUUUUGAAAGGUUAAUGACUAAAUUUAGCUCAAAUAAUAAUAAUAAAAGAACAGAGGCCAAUUUGGCAGAAAAAUGUAAAUAUCGAGGACUAAAGGCCAAUUUGAUAGAAAAAUGUAAAUAUCGAGGACUAAAUUUAUCAUUAUGUCAUUCUUUUUAAGGUUAACUUAUAUGAAUACAAUAUAAGUUCAAGUACAAAUAUAUGUAUGGAUUAAUCUAAAAAGAACUAGACAAAAUCCACACAUGAUAUACGCAUAUGAUGAGAGUAAAACUCACACAUCACAAUUAAGAAUAAUAUUAUAAAACCUAAAUACUCAGAGACUUAAAACCUUCGCAUUAACCAAAAAGUGAAGACCCCAUCAUAUGGAGAAUUUUAUAUCUACAUACGACAAUAUUUCUCGGAUUUCAUACGCUUAAUACUAGCUCUUCAAAUAUAUUCAUUUUUCAUUUUAUUACUUAAAAGUUAUUUUGAUUUACUUUAUAUUGAUUUCAAUCAUAUUGAUCCGUAGAUAUUGUUUCAAUAAGAAAUCGAAUUUUUUUUUUUAAAAUGAGAUGAUUUUGUUGUGGGUUUUUUAAAAUAGUGUUACGGAUAACUUUUUUGUUUAAUGUUUUGGUUGGCUUUUUUUUUUUUCUUUUUUUCGAAUUUUUGAAUGAUGAAUUUUGCAUGUAAAGAUUAUUGAUGAAUAUUUAUAUUUAUUUAAUUUCAUUCAUUUAAUGUUUUUAAAUCUUUUUUAUAUAUUAAAUAUUUUAGAAAUUUAUCGAUAAUUUCGAAAAGAUAUACAAAAACAGGCCAGUACUAAUAUGUAUCCGUUUUUGUAAAAAAAAUGUGCGUCCAUUAGUGUAGUACUAACUACCUUAGAUAAAAAACUGUUUAGUCCUUAAAUUUGGUAACUUUCCUCAACUUAGCACUUAAGCUUUUAUUUUAUCUACAUUAGUCUUCUAACUUUGACAGCUUUUCUCAAUUUCGAUGCAUGUGAUGACACAACACUAUGAUAUUGAGAUGCUAUCAUCUAAAAAUUAUAUUUUUAAUAAAAAUUAGGUGUUAACAUGGGAGAAACAUUAUUAUAAUAACCAAAAAUGAGAAAAGUUGUCAAUUUUCAUGAUUGAUGUGGACAGUGGUGAAGAUAAGGGGCUGGUAGGGGCAGAAAAUUUUUUUUCAUUUACGUCCUUUUAUAAUUUAUAAAAUUUUAAAUUAGUAGUGGUAAAAUUAUAUUUUGUCACCCAAAAAUGAAAAAAAUUAAUUUAAUCCUUUAAAAUGAUAAAGUUAUAGACUAUUAAAAUGGUAAAAUUACAUUUUUAUUAUCAUAAAAAUAUACAACUUAAUUCCGGCCCCUCCCAAAAAAAAUUUUGGCUUCGCCCCUGAAUGUGGACCAAAAAAGAAAGUCUAGAGACCAAAUUGAAAAAUUUUGUCAAAUUUAAGGAUUAAAUGUUGUCUUAUUAUUUUAUUUAACAAAAAGUGUGCUAUAUACACCAAAGUCUCGUAAUUGAAUAAUAAAAUUUCGAUGUUUUUAAGUAAAUCUUGAAUUUAAAUCUUAUGAAUAAAGAAAAUAAUACUAAAUAAAUUUUACUAUCUACUUACGAAUUCAACUCAAUUUCAAAUUUAACUACCAAAUAUCAAAGCUCUUAUAAAAAAAAAGGUAUUGUAAACUUUGUUGUAGUGUAUUUUAUUUUGAUCCAAAAUAGUGAAAAGGAAAUGCAUCCUAAAUUUAUUCAAACCAAAUUAUUAACUUUAAGUGUAAAUUGGGUAAGUGUAACAUAAUUGUUCUCUUUUUUUUUUUUAAUUUAGUCCUUUUCCUAAAUACAACAUAUAUUUUAUAAUAGAUAAUUGAAUUAAUUAAACCAUCAGUUCAUCGUUCAGUUCAACCUAAUGACGGAACGUAAGAGGAGAUUCCCUUCAAAAUUUUAGAAAAUUAUCACUAAAUUUUCUGAUUCAUGUUAGAAUUGACACAUUUAAUUAAAAAUAUUUAAACAUUAAAAUAAUCAAAAAGUCCCUAAGUUCAACUUACGGACGAAAAUUUUCAAAACUUGCCUUUAAUUUUCUCAAAAUUUUUGAUUAAAUCUCUUAAAUUUUAUUUUCAAAAAAAGAAUUUCAUUAAACACAAAAAAUUAAAUAGAUUGAAUCCAACAUCUAGGAGUUACAAAAUUCUCAUAAAUAACCAGAGUUUACAAUGAGAAUAGUAAACAACAAUUACUUUGGUUGAUGUAUGGUAUAAUAAGUCUGCAAAGCAGCAAUAAAAAGCCAGCAAUGGCACCCACAAAAGCGAAAAACGUCCAACGAGUCCUAAAAUAAGCAUGAUAAGCUUGAGCUAGAUAUUGAAUCCACAUAUUCUUACAAUGAUUAUGUAUUUUCUGUUUAACAUAACUGUAACUAGGAACCAAAUCAGUGUUCAUAUUCUUGAUAAGCUUAGCCACUUCUUCAUCACUCCUCAAUCUAUUGUAUAGUAUACCGGCGUCUCUCAGUUCCUUAACAUCUUCGACUUCAUCGAUCAAUGAAUCAAGGACACCCAAAUAUGAAGUGACGGUGAAAUCGUUUUUGAAAUCCAGACACAUUUCGUAAGCUAUUAAGUUCAUGGUUGAAUCAUCGACGGUGAUCGGCGGAAACCAUAAUUUCCCGACAAAGAACACAUGGUUGAAAUUUAUGUCGUUAAACAACUUGCUUCGCUUGCUUUUAACCAUAUCCCGGCCUUUUUAAGCUCUUUUACGUUACGAAAGGUGUGUGAAUGGUGCAGUUUUGUUCUUGUUUGGCUGCUGCGAUUUAACGUGCACAUGAAACGAGUGCAAAACCUAUAAUGCCGCCAUGGUUUUUCUUUUUUUCCUUUUUUGAAAAGAAGUCUUUCUCGUAGUAGAUUCAAUAGGUGAAUUCGCUGCUCUUCUUUUUGCUGCAGCCACCAUUCACUAGAGUAAAAACUGUGUUAGUCGGAAGCCAAGCUACAAUUUCUUUUCUUUAUUUUAUUUUAUUUGGAAUUGUAAAUUUUUAUCAAAACUAAAAUUAAGGUUUUUAAAAUGGAUAGUAAAACCAGUCAAAACAUCUAUUUAUAAGUUUAAUUUAUCCGAUCAAUUCAUCCAAUUUGAUUAAAUAAAUUAUUUCAAAUUUCAAUUCGAUUGUCCGGCUUAAUUAAUUUAUUUUCCCGAUUCAACCUGUUCAUAUAGGUUCCCAAAUCAAUUAGUCUAAUAACUUUCUUUGGACUGAUACCUCAAUUAAAUUCCAAUCCAAUCCGAUUCAAACAACUUUAGCUAAAAUACAAUUUUUAUUAUUGUAUUAAUGCAAAAAUUUUACCAUUUUUAAAGAUAUAAUUUUUCCUUUUUGAAAAGGUGGAUUUGAACUCAUAAUUUGUUGGCUUAAGCGUCUAAAAUCCCUCGUUUGAAAAAGCAAUUAAACCUUCUUCUUCUUUUUUCAUUCAUUUGGGUGCUUGAACUUUUAAAAUAAAUCAAAAAGGUCCUUAAACCUUUUUUUAAAUAAAAAAAGCAAUUAAGCCUCUACUUUUUUUUGCACACAAUUGGGUACUUUGACUUUCAAAAUGCAUCAAAAAGACCCUCAAAUUUUUUCAAAAAAAAAAGUUAAGCCCCUGCUUUUUAUUAAAAAUUAGAAAAAAUUUAUAAAAAGUUAAAAUUAAUAAAAGCUAUAAAUCUUGUCGAAACCGAUUUUUUGAAAAAAACAAAAUUUUUAGGUUGUCGACUUAAAAAAAAGAAAAUUGGGAGUCGCCACCAAUCUUUUAUUGAGGUGUGAUUGGAUCACCUAAAACGACUUUGGUUUACGAAUUUUAGAAAAACGGGUUCGGAAGUCGGUUACGUAUGAGGAAGGAUUAGCACCCUCAUUACGCCCAAAAAUUGGUACCUAGUUAAUUAAUUAAUGUCUUAAGGUCAAAAAUUUUAAAAAUAUAAUCUUUAAAAACUUAAAACGUUGCAUAUUAAGACCCUUUUCAAUUCAGAGAAGCAAAAAUNNNNNNNNNNNNNNNNNNNNNNNNNNNNNNNNNNNNNNNNNNNNNNNNNNNNNNNNNNNNNNNNNNNNNNNNNNNNNNNNNNNNNNNNNNNNNNNNNNNNNNNNNNNNNNNNNNNNNNNNNNNNNNNNNNNNNNNNNNNNNNNNNNNNNNNNNNNNNNNNNNNNNNNNNNNNNNNNNNNNNNNNNNNNNNNNNNNNNNNNNNNNNNNNNNNNNNNNNNNNNNNNNNNNNNNNNNNNNNNNNNNNNNNNNNNNNNNNNNNNNNNNNNNNNNNNNNNNNNNNNNNNNNNNNNNNNNNNNNNNNNNNNNNNNNNNNNNNNNNNNNNNNNNNNNNNNNNNNNNNNNNNNNNNNNNNNNNNNNNNNNNNNNNNNNNNNNNNNNNNNNNNNNNNNNNNNNNNNNNNNNNNNNNNNNNNNNNNNNNNNNNNNNNNNNNNNNNNNNNNNNNNNNNNNNNNNNNNNNNNNNNNNNNNNNNNNNNNNNNNNNNNNNNNNNNNNNNNNNNNNNNNNNNNNNNNNNNNNNNNNNNNNNNNNNNNNNNNNNNNNNNNNNNNNNNNNNNNNNNNNNNNNNNNNNNNNNNNNNNNNNNNNNNNNNNNNNNNNNNNNNNNNNNNNNNNNNNNNNNNNNNNNNNNNNNNNNNNNNNNNNNNNNNNNNNNNNNNNNNNNNNNNNNNNNNNNNNNNNNNNNNNNNNNNNNNNNNNNNNNNNNNNNNNNNNNNNNNNNNNNNNNNNNNNNNNNNNNNNNNNNNNNNNNNNNNNNNNNNNNNNNNNNNNNNNNNNNNNNNNNNNNNNNNNNNNNNNNNNNNNNNNNNNNNNNNNNNNNNNNNNNNNNNNNNNNNNNNNNNNNNNNNNNNNNNNNNNNNNNNNNNNNNNNNNNNNNNNNNNNNNNNNNNNNNNNNNNNNNNNNNNNNNNNNNNNNNNNNNNNNNNNNNNNNNNNNNNNNNNNNNNNNNNNNNNNNNNNNNNNNNNNNNNNNNNNNNNNNNNNNNNNNNNNNNNNNNNNNNNNNNNNNNNNNNNNNNNNNNNNNNNNNNNNNNNNNNNNNNNNNNNNNNNNNNNNNNNNNNNNNNNNNNNNNNNNNNNNNNNNNNNNNNNNNNNNNNNNNNNNNNNNNNNNNNNNNNNNNNNNNNNNNNNNNNNNNNNNNNNNNNNNNNNNNNNNNNNNNNNNNNNNNNNNNNNNNNNNNNNNNNNNNNNNNNNNNNNNNNNNNNNNNNNNNNNNNNNNNNNNNNNNNNNNNNNNNNNNNNNNNNNNNNNNNNNNNNNNNNNNNNNNNNNNNNNNNNNNNNNNNNNNNNNNNNNNNNNNNNNNNNNNNNNNNNNNNNNNNNNNNNNNNNNNNNNNNNNNNNNNNNNNNNNNNNNNNNNNNNNNNNNNNNNNNNNNNNNNNNNNNNNNNNNNNNNNNNNNNNNNNNNNNNNNNNNNNNNNNNNNNNNNNNNNNNNNNNNNNNNNNNNNNNNNNNNNNNNNNNNNNNNNNNNNNNNNNNNNNNNNNNNNNNNNNNNNNNNNNNNNNNNNNNNNNNNNNNNNNNNNNNNNNNNNNNNNNNNNNNNNNNNNNNNNNNNNNNNNNNNNNNNNNNNNNNNNNNNNNUACUAUAUAUAUAUAUAUAUAUAUAUAUAUAUAUUAUAUAUUUACGUUUCGUUUCGUCUCAAACUUAAAACCUUUUAAAAACGUUUUUAAGUUUUUUAAAUUUUGGUGCGGAACAAAAAAGUGAAUUGAAUUUAAAGUUGGAUCGAGUGAAUAAAUGGAUAGAGCUCCACGGCCCCAAUUAUAGGGAAACAAAAAGUAACGAGCUUCUGUUCUCAAUUUGAAUAAUUACCUAAUCUAAUUAAACUUUAAAAAGAAAUUAGUGCCUAAUGUGGUAAAGGUUUUUCUCAUGAGUAAAUUCUCGGUUUUUUUUGAGUCCUAAUUAUUAUUAUUAGGCAUUCCCUUUAUGGGUUAGCCAUGAAUGUGUAGAAGAAGCAGUAUAUUGAUAAAGAAAAUAACUUUUUUUCUAAAAUCAAAAGAGCGAUUGGGUUGAAAAAAUAAAGGAUUUCUAACCGUCAUAUAUGUUGAUUCAAAUAUAAUUCAUACCAAAAUAAAAUUGAUUAUUAAGUUAAAAUAAAAUUUAGGAUGUGAAAGAAGUUCAAAAAAAAAAUUAAUGCAAAAGAAAGAUAAGGGUAUUUUUUUUAGGUCAUGGAUGUAACAACGAAGCUCGGUUAUUGUUGGUGUUGUAUGGAAGAAUCGAAGAUGUUGUGAAUGAGUUUUUAGGGUUUUAAAGUUUAACAUUGAAAGAUUGUUGUUUGUGGGUAUGUGACUGUUUUCGAUGUAAGGAAUGGUAUAAAAAAAUUACGAUUUAGGGUUUUAUUAUAUAAAUAAAGAAAGCGCCUUUUAAGAUUGUUAGAGGCACCUAUCUUUGUUUUUAGUGUAUGUAUCAUGGUCCUGAUGAUGCGGUACAAGUUUAGUUCUUUUGAGUGUGUCUUGUGAUGUGAAGUCUGUUUUGUUGGGGCUCUUGGCUCCUAUGUUUCAAUGAUAAUAAAAUAUACGUCAAACAAAAUUCUCACAAAAAACAGAGUUUACAAAACGACUAGUAAACAACACUUACUUUGGUUGAUGUAUGGCAUAAUAAGUCUGCAAAGCACCAAGCAAAAGUGCAGUAAUGGCACCCACAAAUGCCAAAAACGUCCAAGGACUCCUAAAAUAAGUAUGAUAAGCUAGAGCUGCAUGCUUAAUCCGCAUAUUCUUACAAUGAUUAUGUAUUUUCCGUUUAACCCCACCGUAAAUCAUCGGACUAGGAACCAAAUCAGUGUUCAUCUUAUUGAAAAGGUUAGCCACUUCUUCAUCACUCCCCAAUCCGUUGUAUAGUAUGCCGGUGCCACUCAGGUCUUUAACAUCUUCGGCUUCAUCGAUCAAUAAAUCAAGGAAACACAUAUAUGAAGUGACAGUGAAAUCGUUUUUGAAAUCCGGACACAUUUCGUAAGCUAUCAAGUUCAUGGUUGAAUCAUUGACGGCGAUUGGCGGUAAACAUAAUUUUCCAACGAAGAUACGGUUGAAACAGAUUCGUAGUAGAUUCAGUAGGUGAAUUGGACUUGCAGCUUCCACCAUUACCAUUUUCUAGAGCUAAAUCUGUGUCAAGUCAUCGAUUUAUAAGUUUAAUUGAUCCGAUAUAUUCAUAUUUGUUGAUUAAAUAAAUCAUUAAAAAUUUUGAUUUUAUUAUUUAGUUCAAUAAGUUUUUUUUUUUUUUUUACAAUUCAACCUGAUUCUUAGGUCAAUCGAUCUAAUGACUUUCUUUAAACUCAUACCUCAAUUAAUUUUCAAUCCAAUAUAAUCCAAACAACAUUUGGUAAAAUAUAAUUUUAUUUUACCAUUUUGAAAAGUUGGAUUUGAAAAUGCACACUCAACAGGAUCAAUACAAAGGGACAGGCGAGGUCGUUCUCAAAAAUAGAAAAUUAUAUUUUCAUCCUUUUUAAAUUAUUAAAUUAUAAAUUUAUAUAAUAAAAUUACACUUUAACCUUUUAAAAUGAAAAAAAAAAUUGUUCAACCUUUUUAAAACUGAUGAAAUUAUAAAUUAAUAAAUGAAAAAAAAAGAGAAUGAGACGAAACUUGUUGAUCAAGCUAGUUGGAUAGAGAAUUAAGUAAAGGUGCUCAUGGGUAAGGUUGAACCCAAUAAAAGAUUUAUGCCUCAGCUUGGCCCACUCGUUUUAAUUUUUUUAAAAUUUUUUAAAUAUUUUUAUAUAAUUUUUAAAUAUAUAUGAUACAUUAAAAAUACUAAAAAACAUUAAAAUAAAUAUUUCCCAACAAACUAAAUUUUUUUUAAAAAUAUGUAUACUUAAAUAACAUUAAAGUAGACACUGUGAAAUGGUAGUAAAAUAGGAAGAAAAUGACAAGAAACUAGCAUUAAAACAAUAAAAAAAUAACAUAUUUUUUUGUCCUUUUGUGAUUCGGGCUAGGGUUGGGCCAAAAAUGUCUUACCCGAGACUUGGCCUAUUUUCAAAACUAGAUUUUUUUUUGCCUAAGUCAAUUUUUUAGGUCUAUAUUUUUACUUAAACCCUUAUAUUUCUCGGACGAGCCAAAUGACCCAAUCUAUGAGUAAGUCUAGAAUCAAGCAAGAUACUGGUCCAGAAGAAAAGGAUAGACAAAUUGAAUCGAAUAGUAAAAUCGAUUUUUUUAUAUUUUUAAUAUAACUUUAAUAUUUUUUAAGAUUCUAUAUAAUUUAAACGAAUGAACUAUUCAACCGAAAAUGAGGAUCUAAUCGAUUCCAUCACCUAGUUAUAAAAAUCUUUAACACUUAUAAACUCCACAAAAUAUUCUUUUUAAAAUUCCUUAAAUUACCUGUCCCGCUGAUGUGAUUGUGGCUCUUUUAUCUCGGCUGGGUUGACAACAGUGUCGUCGAUGAACCUUUUGAUUGAAUCCAUGAACUUUUUGCCAUCCCCCGAGCUUGUAAGCAAUUCAGGAACACGAAAAGGUGAUUGGUUUUCCAACAAGAACAGAUCCGAGUACACAAAUGUCAGCAAAUCGUUUUUAAUGAAAUUCGUUCGACUUACGAUCAUAAUCUUGGCCGUAACGCAUAUAAACUGCUUGUAAAAUUGCGCAGCCGUCAAUUCCUUUGGAUCAUAGCUUUUCUUCAAGCCAUCCGGCUCUGUCUUCAUGUUGGUAUCAUUAUCGAUGCCAAUUUUUUUAACGAAAUUUGCUGCUAAAUUGAGCUUGAGCUUCUCGGACUCGUGGAGGGUGGGAUCAUCGUGGUGGAGUGGGCCAAUUGAGAUCACUUUCGGCUUGAAAUAUUUCCGGAAAUCUUCGUCACGGCGAAGGGUUGCUGGGACUCUUUUGUCAAUAGUUUGGCUUUGGGGUCGAGAUGGUCCCCUUCGAAAGCUUCGUCUAAUGACCAGCAAUUCCGUGAUUCGCCAUUGCUGUGAGUGAAGUCCGUACCCGGUAUUGGAAUGAUCGUCUCUAGGGGAUUGUUGUUCGUGUUGUUAUUGAUGACUGUUUGAUCAGUGGAAACUACUCCACCGGGAGCUCUGACGGCGCCGCCUCCUUCUGUAACACCCCUAUACCAUGUUUGACUUAAGGAACCUAAUAUAAGAAUAUUACAUUUGAUGCCAAAGUAAUUCUUGGCUAAUUACUAUUAUAUUUGAACAUAAAAACAGACAAAUAAUAAAUUUAAAUAAUUUAUAUUUAAAUCUAUUACUACUACUUGGGACAUAAUUUUUUUUAAGUACAUGCCAUUCUAUUCAAAAUUUUAAAACAUACCCGUUGUUGCUUGAAGAUGUGAUGAGAUGAAAGCUUACAAUCUCAAAUUCGACUCUCAAAAAUUUAUGUACCUAAUUUGCGCAAGGAAACAAAUCGUACAAUGAGUAUACACCCAGUGUUAUUACUAUAAUUCAAAUACUUAAGGUAAAAACAAUAUAUAUACACAUUAAAUCUUACCACUAUUUUACCUUCAAUAAAUCAUUCAUGCAUUUAAACUUUAAAUUUAUUCUAAUAAUAUGUAUCUUAAAUAGCUUUUCUUUAUUUUAAUUUAUAUAUCUACUUAUUAUAUCAAUAUUCAUUUCAUGCAUUUCAUCAAUAACCAUUUCAUAAAACUAUUAUUUCAUAUAUUUCAUUUCUAUAUCCUAAUUCAAUAAUUUAUUCUAUUCCAUAUCUAAAACCUUACAACAUUAGUCUUUCAAUAAUUAUUUAAACCAACAUUUUUCAAUAAAAAUAAUUAUAAUUAAUUCAUAAGAUUAUAUCCAACUAACUCAUACACUAUUUCAUUAUUUCCUAUUCAUUCUAUUUUCACUUCUUAUUUCGAUAUCUCAAUUUCAAUUCACAUUUCAAUUCAUAAUUUCACUUUCUCAUACUUUCAAUAGCUCAAUCCAUCAAUUCAUUUGAUUUUUUCAUUUCAUUUAUUCAACUGAUUUCAAAAUCAAUAAUUCGAUAUUUUAGCAAAUUCAUGAACCUUAUGUUCAUGCUUCAAAUCUCGCAUCUUAAUGCCGUUCACAAUUCAACUCAUAAUUUCUUUCUCAUAUCUCUAAAAGUACGAUCAAUCAAAUUUAUUUAAUUUUCUCAUUUCAGUUAUUCACCUUAUUAACAAACCCGGACUUUGACGGAUACACGAAUUCCAACCCAAACACACCAGUACGGCAUAUUGUGCCUAAAACGGUACAUAGUACCUGAUCAGUAUACGACACAUAAGUGCCUGAAAUGACACACGAGGUGCCUAAUAUGACACACGAGGUGCCUGAAAUACGCAAAGCCGAUAUAUCCCGGACUCUUAUAAAUCCUAUGGCAUGCCAAUUAUAUCCGACUUAGCCCGACUAGAUAAUAGGGUAUUUCAAUUCUCAAUUCACUUUCAUUUCCAAUUCAAUAUCACUUUUCAAUUACAAUUUCUCAUUCAAAUCAAUAUACAAUUCAAUUGUACAUACACAUUCAUCAUUCAAUUCAAUUCUCAUUCAUUUCAAAAUCAAUUUUUCACUUUCUAAUCAAUAAACAAUUCAAUACCAAUACAUAUUUCAGAUAAUCACAUAUAAUCAUAUUUCGAUUCAAUUCAAACCACUUUUCAAUCAAUACACAAUUCACAUAUUCACACAUAUUCAUAAAUUAAUUCACUUUUAUUUAAUUCAUAUUUUUAAUUCGUUUUCCAAUCAAAUUCAAAUCACUAAUUACUUUUCAAUCAAUAUACAUUUCAAAUACUCACAUAUUUUCUUCAUUCAAUUCAAUUUGAUUCAAUUAAAAUCACUUUUAGUUUCCAAUCAAUAUAAUUUCAAAUAUUCACAUAAUUCGUAAUUCAAUUACUUAAAUCACUUUUAAUUUCCAAUUUGUUCACAUUCAAUUUCAAUAGCCAUAAACAUUUUUGAAUCAAUUUCAUUCAAAUCAAUAUCAUCAUUUCAAUUGCUUACCUAAUUUUAUUUGCCAUGCAUUUUAAUUCAAAUAUAACAAUUAAUAAUAAAUAGAUUUGAAUUAUAGUAGUACAAACCCGGAUUUGUUCGAUUACUCCUCGAUAACUUUUCCUUUCUUUUCGGUGCCGAUGCCUCGAUUUCUUUGGUAACUACAAAAAUAAUAAUAAUAAUUUACACUUAUUAAUAACAGCACUAAUUUAUAAUAAUGAUUGAAUUUCUAUUCAAUUUAUAUCCUAAUUCCAAUUUAAUCCUAAUUAACUCAUUUACUUUUAUAAUUCAAUUCAUACUUCAUUUCGAUUCAAUUUCCUUCCAUAUUUCACUUAACUAUCUAAUGUUCAUAAUAAAAUUAUAAUUUAAAAUUUCUUUCAAUUUAGUCCUUUAAACACAAAACUUAUAGCUUCUUUUACAAUUCAAUCCCUUACCAAAUAUAACUUGAAAUUCAUUCAAUUAAAUCCCUAAUUCAUCUUUUUGUUCAACAUGAACUAUACUUAUAAACCUAUGAACUUUCAAAGUAUCAACUUAAUUUCAUCAAAACCUUGUUCUAAAGCUUCUAAAACAUCAAAAUUAAGUAAAAAGGACUUAAUUGACUUACCUAUUAAAGUUUUAACCUUCAAACCCUAGUUUUUCCCCAUUUUCUUUUCUUUCCCUUUUCUUUCUUCUUGUUUUCGAAUGGCUUCUGCUAUUCUUUCUUUUGCUUUCUUUCUUUAUUUCAUUUCAUUUAUAUAUAUAUAUAUAUAAUAUUAGUUAAUAAUGAUAAUAAUGAUAAUAAUAAUUAUAAUAAAUAUCUUUUAAUAACACAUAUUUACAUUACAUUUGUCACCACUUAAUUUGUUUAUCGUAUACAAAAAUCUUAUAAUAUAAUUAUUUAAUUAAUAACUAUCUUUUACUUAAUUUUCAAGUAAAUAAAUAAAUAUAAUACAAAUGUAUAUAUUUACAUUAUUUCAAUUGUCACUAUCCAAUUUUUUUAUUAGUUAUCUAAUAAAUAUCUUUUACUUAGUAAUAAUAAAUAAUAAAUAUCUAUUUACUAAUUAAAUAUAAGUAUUACAAAUGUACAUAUAUUUUUUUUUACAAGUGUACAAUAUCAUCACCACCCAUUUGGCAAAAUUUUGAUUUAUUCAUAUAAUAUAAUAUAAUAUUUUUAAUUUAUAACUAAUAUAAAUUGCCAUAUAAUAAAAUAAUUAUAUACAUAAUAAUUUAAUAAUAAUUAAACAAUAAAAAUUUUAGAUUUUUAUCAACAUUUGCCGCCUCAUUUAUGGUGAAUGGUAUAUUUUCCAUUUUGGUCCCCCUUUCUUUUUAUUAAUCUAAUCUAGCCCUUAAUAUUUAUAAUUUUACCAAUUUGAUUUUUAUUCUUUUUAGUUAAAUUUAAUUCUCUACCUAGUGUCAAAUUUGACUAUUGAUCUUUUAGAAAAUUGUCGAAUUAAUGUUUUGUUCUUUGCUUUCAAUUUGGUUCUGUUCUUAAGCAAAUUUCUGCUUUGUUUCUUCUCCAAGUCACGAGUCUUGUUGUUCAAGUCAUAGCUGAACUAGCUUGCUUGUUGUUCAUAACACCAACAGCCUGUUCUCGGCUGGGUUGAUAACAGUAUCAUCGAUGAACCUCCGGAUUGCAUUCAUGAACAUUUUGCCAUCACCCAAGCUUGUAAGCAAUUCAAGAACACGAAAAGGUAAUUGAUUUUCCAACAAGAACAGAUCCGAGUACAAAAAUGUCAGUAAAUCAUUUUUAAUUAACAAAUUACCAUCAUCAUCAUCAUUAUCGUAACGCAUGUCAACUGCUUGUAAAUUUGCGCAGCCGUCAACGAUGAACAUCCAAGCCAGUUCCUCGUUAUCGUCUCUAUACUUCUCUAAUUCCUGUGGAUCAUAGCAUUCCUUCAAGCUAUCCAUCUCUUUCUUAAUUUUUCUGUACAAGGAUUUCUUAUCGACGCCAAUUUUUUUGACGAAAUGUGCUGCUAAUUUGAGGUUGAGCCCCUUGGAUUCACGGAGGGUGAGAUCAUCGUGGUGGAGUGGGCCGAUUGAGAUCACUUUCAGCUUGAAAUACUUCUUGAAAUCUUCGUUACGGAGAAGGGUUGAUGGGACUUUUUGUAUUAAUGGUUUGUAUCUAAGGGUGGGUUGGCCACCAAAAGCUUUGUCUAAUGACUGGAGCUUCGCUACUUCGCCAUCGCUGAGAGGGACGUCGGUGAACCACAUAUCAAUUCCCACGUAAUCGUUGUUGGUGUUGUUGUCGAUGAUUGUUUGAUUAGUGGAAACUGCUCCGGCGGCGCUGCCUCCUUCCUCCAUGGACGACAUUUUCAGGCUGACCGGCUCGAAGUAAUUAACAAGGUGAUUUUGAAAACUUGUUUUGGCUGAUUGAGUGAUGUUGGAAAAAAGGUGGCAAAAUGGCUACGAUGAUAACAAAUCUUCUAUAGCUUACAUAAAGAGGCGAAUAUAGGGGAAUGUAAAAUUGUUAUUUAGGCCCUUAAUAUUUUUUAAAAUUUUAAAUUAGUAAAAGUGAAAUUACAUUUUGGCCUUAUAAAAUUAUAAAAAUUCAAUUUAAUCUUUUAAAAAUUAUAAAGAUAUAGACUACAAAAAAUUAAAAUCUCAUUCGAUCCACCCUAAAAAAUUAUUCGGGCUUCGCCACUGCUUACAUAAUAAACAUAUGGAAAAUACUUUUGGUGUAAUUCAAAUUUACCCCUUAUAGUCAAUUUAAUUUUCAUUUUUUUAAUUUAAUUUUCUAUCUUUUGGAAGAGUUGAAUUUAACUAUCAAUUUAAAUUAAUAUUUUUUGACGAAAAUAGUGACUAAAAUAUUAAAAUAUUAAACAUGACAACUCAAACGGCAAUCCACAUCUAUAUGUUUUUUUAAUUUAUUUCUUAUUUUUAAAUUAUUUAUUGAUGUGACAUAUAAUAAAAGUAUUGUUAUAUUAGCAUGAAGUACACAUGGAAGGCCACACGAGUUGUGACACCAAUAUCGUUAAAAAUUAAUAUUUUAGUUAGCAUAUCUGUUAAAGAAAAGCAAAUGAACUCUUUUUUCAAAGGUUAAUGGCUAAAUUUAGCUCAAAUGAAAAAAAAAAAAAGGCCAAUUUGAUAAAAAAGGUAAAUGUCAAGAGUUAAGUUUAACAUUUAUACAAGUACAAAUAUAUGUCUGGAUUAAUCUAGAAAGAACAAGACAAAGUCUACAGGUGAUAUACAAAUGUGAUGAGAGUGGAACCUGCACAUCACAAUUGAGAAUAAUAUUAUAGAACCUAAAUACUCAAAAACCUAAAACCUUCCCCUUAACCAAGAAGCUAAGACGCCAUGGAUAAUUUUAUAUCUACAACACUUAUGAAUUUCAUAUGCUUAAUAAUAGUUUACAAAAAGACAAGUAAAGAACACUUACUUCGGUUGAUGUAUGGUAUAAUAAGUCUGCAAAGCAGUAAGAGUAAGUGCAGCAAUGGCACCCAAAAAUGCUAAAAACGUCCAAGGACUCCUAAAAUAAGUAUGAUAACCUUGAGCUGCAUGAUUAAUCCACAUAGUCUUACAAUGAUUAUGUAUUUUCUCUUUAACCCCACUGUAAAUUGUCGGACUAGGAACCAAAUCAGUGUUCAUCUUAUUGAAAAGCUUAGCCAUUUCUUCAUCACUGCCCAAUCCAUUGUAUAGUAUGCCGGAGUCUCUAAGGUCUUUAACAUCUUCGGCUUCAUCGAUCAAUAAAUCAAGGAAACACAUAUAUGAAGUGACGGUGAAAUCGUUGUCGAAAUCCGGACACAUUUCGUAAGCUAUUAAGUUCAUGGUUGAAUCAUCGACGGAGAUCGGCGGUAACCGUAAUUUUCCGAAGAAGAAGAUAUGGUUGAAACUGAUGUCGGUUAAAUUACUUGUUUCGCUGGCUUCUAACCAUAUCCCGGCCUUUUUAAGCUCUUUUACGUUACCAAUGGUGCGUGAAUGGUACCGUUUUGUUCUUUUUCUUCUUGCUGCUGCUUUGCCAAAUCCGUGUCGAGUGAAUUCCCAAAGAAAACACCAGCACCGUAUUCGUACUUUUCUGAGAAGGAGUCUUUCUCGUAGUAGAUGCAAUAAGUGAAUUCGCUCUCCUUCUUUUUGCUGCUUCCACCACCAUUCCCUACACCAAAAUCUGUGUUAGUCGGAAGCCAAGCUACAAUUUCUCUUUUCUUUUUUUCUUUUUUGUUGUUGGAUUUGGAAUUGUUAAUUUAUAUGAAGCUAAAAUUAAGAUUUUCAAAAUAAAUAAUCCAACGAUUAAGUUAUUCAAUUUACUUAAUUUAAUUGAAUAAAUUAUUAAAAACUUCGAUUCGAUAAUACGGUUUAAUUAAUUUUUUUUACCCUGUUUAUAUAAAGUUUUAAAUCGGUUAAUCUACUCCGAAUUGAUAAUUCAAUUAAUUUUCAAUCCAAACCCAUUCAAACAAUAUUAACUAAAAUACAAUUUUUAUUGUUGUAUUAAUGCAAAAAUCUUACCAGUUUUAAAACAUUAAACUUUUCCAUUCUGAAAAGUUGGAUUUGAAAUCAUAAUUUUUAAUUUCUAAAAAUGAACACUCAAGGAUAAAUGUAAAACGACAGGCAGGGGUCGUUCCCAAGAAAUGAAAAUUUACACUUUAAUCUCUUUUAAAUUUAUUAAAUUAUAAUAAGUCCUCAAAUUAAAAAAUAAUAAUUGUUCAAUUUAAAAAAAAUAAAAUCAUAAAUUAAUACAAAAAAAAUUAAAAAUCAAUCAGGUUGAAUAAAAAAUUAAAUAAAAUUGAAGUUACACCAAUUGAAUUAAAGAAUCAAAUAAAUUUCUUUUUAUAUUUUUAAUAUUUUUAAAAAAUUAUAUAAUUAAAUUGAAUAAACUAAUCAACCAGAAAUGAGAGUUUAAUAGAUUCCAUCACUCAUGUAGUUAUAAAAACCUUUUAACAUUUAUAAACUGCACAAAAAUGAUGAUUUAUUUAAUUCCCUAAAUUACCUGUCCUCGCCUGGGAUGAUAACAGUUUCGUCGAUGAACCUUUGGAUUGCAUUCAUGAACUUUUCGCCAUUUUUUCUAGGCCUUGUAAGCAAUUCAAGAACACGAAAAGGUAAUUGGUUUUCCAACAAGAACAGAUCCGAGUACACAAAUGUCAGCAAAUCGUCUUUAAUAAACAAUUUACCAUCAUUAUCAUCACCAUUAUCAUCAUCACCGUAACGCCUGUAAACUGCUUGUAAAAUUGCGCAGCCGUCAACGAAGAAAAUCCAAGCCAGUUUCUCGUUAUCGUUGCUAUACUUCUCUAAUCCCUUUGGAUCAUAGCAUUUCUUUAAGUCAUCAAUCUCUUUCUUCAUGUUGUUGUACAACGUAUCCUUAUCGACGCCAAUUUUUUUGACGAAAAGUGCUGCUAAUUUGAGCUUGAGCUUCUCGGAUUUCCGGAGGGUGGGAUCAUCGUGGUGGAGUGGGCCGAUUGAGAUCACUUUCGGCUUGAAAUACUUCCUGAAAUCUUGGUGACGACCAAGGGUUGAUGGGACUCUUUGUAUCAAUGGUUUGGCACCGAGGUUGAUUUCGUCGCCGUCGAAAGCUUCGUCUAAUAACCGGAGAUUCGCUACUUCUCCAUCUCUAAGAGGGACGUCCAUAUCAAUGCUCACGGAAUCGUUGUUGUCGGUGAUUGCUUGAUCAGUGGAAACUGCUCCGACGGCGCCGCCUCCUUCCUCCGUGGAGAACAUUUUCAGGCUGAGUGGUUGGAAGUAAUAAACAAGGUGAUUUUGUAAACUGCUUUUGGCUGAGUGAGUGAUGUUGGAGAAAAGGUGGCAAAGUGGAUACGAUGAUGGGAAAUAUUUUAUAGCUUACACGAUACACAUAUAUAUAUGGGAAAUACUUAAGGUGUAAUUCAAAUUUACCCUGUUUAUAUUUUUACUAAUAUAAUUUUAAUUUUUUAAUUAAAUUUAAUUCUCUUUUGAAAGAGUCAAUGAUAAAAAAGAAAUUAGGAAAAUGUGUAUAUAGAUGUACAUAUAUAAAAAAAUUGCAAAAAUAUAUUUACAAUAAUUUUGAAGGGCGUACGUGUGUAUCAAUAUCUAUUUAUGUAUAUAUAUAUAUAUUAUAAAAUAUAAAAAAUAUAUAAAUAUAAUAGAAAUAUAAAUGUAUAUACGUAUAUAUGUAUAUAAAAGCUAAAAAAUAAAUAAUAACAAUAUAUAUAAAAAUAUGUAUAUGUAUUAGAGAAAUAUUUAAUAUAUAUAUAUAUAUCUAUUAGCAUACAUAUGCUUAUAUAUGUAAGUAUAAUUAUAAUACUAUAUAAUAUAAUAAUAAUAAUAAUAAUAAUAACAAAAACUAAAAAAUAAACUACAAAAAAAAACCUUAAAAAGGACCAUUAAGGAUUAAACUGAGAGCUAAACGAAGUUAAAAGGCCAAAUUUAAAAAUAGAAAACACCAGGAAGGACCAAAUUGAUACGCGCGCCAUGAGAGGAGGACUUAAAAAGUAAUUUUCCCAAGUCACUCAAGCACUGCGCAGUGAUAUGGAUUAAAUCGUCACGCAAGCGAAAUAUUUGGGCCGAACUUAAAAGAAAAAAACUUGAUUAAACACAUCGCAAAAUGGGGAGGGCUAGAUGCGCAAUUUCCCCACUCAGGGCCAGAACGCGCGGAUCCCCCCUCCGGGUCGGGUCGACACGCUGGUCAUGGCACCCUAAACGGCGCCGUUUCGUCUUGUUUUAAAAACUCCUAAAUCUGACUUUCUUUGAUUUGAAACUGGAAAGAAAAAAAAAACCCUAGGGGUUUUGUUUUCUCCCCCGCGCCGCUUCCAGUCGAUCCGGCCGAUUCGAAUCUCGGCCCCAAAUCUGGCUCCGAUUAAGACGAAGCAGACAUGGUUUUCAAUGGCACAACCACGUAGGUAAUAUUCCUUUUUUUAUUUUUUUGUUUAACACACAAAAAUCGGUAAAUAAAUUAAGCAAACAAAGAAGAGAAAACAAAACUAAGAAGAACGUCACCUCUUUUAUUUCACUCUUUUUUCGAUUUUCAGUAUUCCCCCCCCCACUAUUUACAUAUUGAAGUUGGCCUUUUAUAGCCGAAAUGGAAAUGAAAACAUGAACAAAAUCAAAAAGAAAAAUUGUUGCCCGAUUUUUGCUAUUUUGUUUUGUUCUCUUUGUUGUGUUUUUGUUGCUGUAGGUAAUGCGUGCGGGGAAGGCGCGAGAUUCGCGGCGACGAGGAGCGCGAUGUGUAGGCGCGACGCACGGGAGUAGUUGCAGCACCAGUUACUGCGGCGCUGAAGCAGAAGCUUAUUUAGGGUUUGUGCAAUUUUGAUGUUUUUUGGGCUAGGGUCUGAAAAUUAGUUGUUGGGCGGCCUGUUAAUGGUUUGGGCCCGGGCAUUAUUGGGUUUUUAUAGCUGCCCCUCUUUGCUCAUUGUCGUGUAACGGAAAUAGAGCAAAGACUAAAAGCCCAAUUGUGCUCGGUCUUACUGAACCUCGACUUCUUCAAUACUUUUCCUUCAAGUAGCCUCAUUCCCUCCUACUGCAUCUUCAGAGGUAUAGGAACUAGUGCUUCAAUCUACUCCGCUACAAUGUCAGAGAGAUAGAAUUCAUACUUUGUAGCUUCUCAAAAGAACAAAAGUUGUCAUCUUUUAUCUGUUUCACUGCAACUUCAGGGAGAUAAGACUUAUAGCUUCACCUUGUUCUGCUGCUCCAUUGCAACUUCAAGGAGAUAGGAUUGGUUUUUUUUUCUGUCUGUUCCACUGCAACUUUAGGGAGAUAAGACUGAAUAUGAUCUACUCUCUGCAACUUCAGAGAGAUAAGAUCUGCUGUAUUUGAUCUACUUCACGCCAAUACAUGAAGACAAGAUCUACUUUUUUUGGCCUACUUCGCCACCUGUAUGGGAAGACAAGAUCUACCAUCUUUGACCUGCUUCACGCCAAUACAUGAAGACAAUAUCUGCUUUCUUCGGUCUACUUCGCCACCUGUAUGGGAAGACAAGAUCUGUUUUCCUCAAUCUACUUCAUGCCAAUACAUGAAGAUAAGAUCUGUUUUCUUUGACCUACUUCGCCACCUGUAUGGGAAGACAAGAUCUACCAUCUUUGACCUACUUCACGCCAAUACAUGAAGACAAGAUUUGCUUUCUUCCAACCUGCUCCACUAUUGUUCAGGGAGAUAAGGCCUUAUGAUUUCAUUGAUCUGCUCUCUGUGGAACAUGACCUGUAUGAUUCAUUUUAUGAGCCUAAUUAUGCCUAAGGAUUAGGAUGUCAUGAUCAGAAUGAAUCAAAUGCUCCUAACUAGACAUGUAUGAAUGACAUUUGAAUGAGUGCAGAAUGUCAUGAGAAUGAUAUUUUAACGCUUGAGUUAUUAUUACUCCAAGUUUAUUAACGUUAUCGCCAAUAUGCUCUAGCGCCUUAUUGCUCGGCUGGCGUCUCUAAAAAAACUUGACCAGAUUGCCCCCACUAUAAACCUUCAAGUUUGAUCAACUGGGAUGCAAAAUUUGUACCAUUUUUCUCCUGUUGUAACCUAAGAGUAAAAGAUUUGACUUUUUCUCGAUCCUCUGUUAUCACAAUUCAAAGAUACAUGAUGUGAAACUUUUUGGUCUAUUACAUCAUUCUGAGGGUGUUGUACCAAAUGCUCAUGCACAAAUGAAGAAAUUUCUUCUCUAAGAAUAACUUCUUCUUAUUAUUCGGUGAUUACUUAAGUGACCUCAUUGAAGCUUUGUCACCAACACGACAUCUUGCCAUUUUGUUCAAUCAAUACUUCAGACAAGAAAAUUCAAAGGGAUAAUAUUAAUUUAGACUCUUCUUUAUCAGGUUUCCAACCUUUGAACCUGGUGCCUUCUAAAUAAUAGUCAUGUUUGAGGUUCCUAUAUUAUUUAAAAGCUUCUAGAGUAAUAAGCAAAACUUCCUUUGUGAAAUUUUUACUAGUCCAUUCAUCAUUAUUCUAAUGCAACAUGAUUGCAAAAGGAUCAUAAUAAUGGAUAAGAAUAGAGUUGGUCCUGAGCAUAGCUCGAAAUGAAUAAAUUAUCAAAAAUAAAGAUGGAUAGCAAAGAAAUUGAUUUAGGAAUGCGUAUCUUAGAAAUGAAGGAAGUGUUCCAAGAAUAACAAAAAUAGUAUAAGGAUGAGGUGCCCCAGAUAUCGCAGCUUGAACUUCUCUGUACAAACUUUUUGAAGACCAUUCUGAGUUUAACAUGUGUUUAGGAGAUCUAUAGUACUUUGUCGAUGCCCCCAAGAUGUCGCCUACCCCUUCCUGUUGAUUCAGGUAUAGCAAGACCACUGCAUGCCCCACUCUAAUCAGUAUUUGAGCUACUCUGAUAGCUUCUAGUGUCAUUUUGAUCAAUAUUCGAGCUACCCUUUUCGGGUUUUUAACUCAAAUCCCCUUUAGUUUAAGGUGCCCUUUGCGGGUUUUCACCUUAGCCUCUCCAUUUUAUUUUUUUCAUUCUUCAUUUUAUCAUUUUUUUUACGACUCAAAGUGCCCUUUGCGGGUUUUUACAUUGGUCAUCUCCUUCUUUAAGUAGAUUAUUUCCUGACUGAACUUGAGUUUACAGGACUUUGGAGGUUUAUCAUUUCACUCAAAAUCAAAACUCCUUUGGAAAAGACCUUCUUUAUAACAUAAGGUUCUUACCAAUUUGGCAUCCGUUAUUUUUUUUGUAGGGUGAGGAUCUUCUUCAGCAUUAGGCCACCAUCGUGGAAUUCUCUGGGACAAACCUUUUGCUAUUGGCUCGCAUCGUUCAUUUCUUGGUACAUCUGACCAUGAUGAAUAGUUUCUAGCCUUUUUCUUCAAUUAGGUUCGACCAAACGUAUCGGGAUUGGAUCUUCAUCCUACUUCAGCUCAGUCAAAAUCCAAAGAGAAAGAAUUUCAACUUCAAUGAAAAAAAUCGUGAAAAACUGAAAAGAGUGGCAUUGCCCCGAUUGAGUUUUCUCUGCACCAUUCAUGAUAUUCACCUUGAACAUACCGCAAAUUUCUGAUAUUGUGCUAUUGUUCAGAUUACAAUGACAGUGCUUAAAUUGGGCACAUCCUCGUAUGACCAUGCGAAGACAUCUUUGAACUCUUGAAGUAACUCAAUAACAUCUUGCUUUGUUUCUUCGGUCAUGCAUGUUCCCUCAAGGUCACAUUCUCCAUUGUCCCCUUAUGAGGUAAAUUUGUUUCUCUUAUUGUUUUACCACCCUCAACAAGUCAGGAGAUAUGCUACAAUCUAUGACAUCUUCAAAGUCAUGAGAUCCCUCUAAACACAUGUCUCCCUUAACAAGAGAUUCAGAGUCCGUAGCAGUGCCAAUCAUGUCAUUGAUAUCCAGAGACCUAUUAUAGGUGCCAAAGAAUGUACAUAAUAUGAAUGAAUAAAAGAAUGGUUUGGCAGAAAAAUCUAAAAGAAUGAACGAAUCGUAAAGAAUGAAAGAACAUUUGCUCAAAAAUGAUUGCAAUAAUGUAUUUCAUUAAAAUAAUCAUGUUCGGACAUGAGCCAAUUUCACAAAGACGUUCUUAUUUCUUUUAGGCUAAAAGCAACAAGGGUGUUCUGAAUAUUACUCUAAUAGACCCUAAAUACUGUAGGGGUUUCCUCUGCAGUCCCAUUAUUUAUAGCACCUCUCAGGCGAAUAUCUAACCAGAACCCUUUUAAUUGCGUCUGCACACAUGGCAUCGAUGUGCAAAUUUCUUACCACUUCUCUAUGCAUUGCAUUCCCUCCAUUAUCAAUCAUGAUUGGGUAAUGGAUUUUCUGCACUUGAUGAGUCACCAAACUUGACAACACCCAUGUCGAUGAGUCUUGCAACUUGCUUCUUGAAGGAAGUGCAAUUCUCAAUCGAGUGUCCCAUAAUUCCCACAUGGUAUUCACAUUGUGUGUUCGCAUCAUACCAUUUGGGAUACAGAGGUUGUAGAGGCUUCACAGGAAAAGGAGAAACAACACGGGCAUCAAACAAAUUUUGAUACAGUUCCCUAUACGGUAUUGGGAUUGGUGUAAACUGGAACUUCUUAGUCUUUAUACCAGAAUCCUGCCUUGAUGAAUUUUUUUGAUUAGUAACCACCUUUCUUGGCUGACUCAUAGUAACUGAUUUAAAGUAACCCGUGUUGUUCACCUCAUUUUCUCUUCUCCUUGAGGCUGACCUCCUGUUACUCUCCUCUGCAUCGAUUUUUUCGCUCCUUAUAGCAUUUUUUAUCAUUUCACCGUUCAUAACUAUGUCAGAAAAGCUUUUUGUAGCACUUCCUAACAUAUGUGUGAUGAAUGGAACUUUUAAUGUAUUUAUAAAGAGCAUUGUCACUUCUCUUUCCAAGAGCGGUGGCUGAACUUGGACGGCGACUUCCCUCCAUCUCUGUGUGUACUGCCUAAAGCUUUCACUCAGCUUCUUCUCCAUGUUUUGAAGGGUGAUUCUAUUAAGAGUCAUGUUUUUCACAUGACUAUAUUGUUUCAUGAACGACUGUGCCAAAUCCCUCCAUGAACCAAUCGUGGUACAACUCAGUUGAUUGUACCACUUGGAUGCUGCCCCUACUAGGCUAUCCUGGAAACAGUGUACCAAAAGCUGGUCAUUGCUAACAUAUCCGGCCAUGCGCCUGCAGAACAUGGUGAUAUGAGCUUCUAGGCAACUUGUCCCAUUGUACUUCUCAAAUUCUGGCAUCUUAAACUUGUGAGGAAAUACUAAAUCUGGGACCAAACUCAACUCUUUGGCGUCGAUUCCCCGAUAAUUUUCAGUGACCUCCAUCGCCUUGAACUUCUCCUCAAGCCAUUUGCACCUUUCUUCUAACUAUUUUGGUAACUCCUCCUUUAUUCUUUCCCUCUCGGCACUUCAUCAAAGUCAGAAUGACAGAGUUAAUAGGGUUGUUGCCGAGGUUAAAGCCCGAUCCGACUUGAAAGUUUGAAGCACUGGCUUGGAAUUGCUGAGGCCUGAUUGUAACAGUAGGUUUGUGCGAAUAUUCAGCUUGAGUUCGGGAAUAUAGUGGAGUAAAGCCUGGAGGAUGGAUAGUUUCAUCCUCAUUACCCUCUUCGAUAUCGGUCAUGGGACCCUUUCCCUUAUCACCUCCUUCAGUCAACAGUUGGGUUAGCUUUGCCAUCAUACUGUCCUGGGAUUUUUGUAUCUUUUCUGACAUAUCCUGUUGCAUCUUGUCCAACCGCUCUUGAAUUUUUAGCUGAAGUCUGUCUUCCAUCUCCUUCUGGUACUGUUCGAGCUUUUCCAAUCUCUGUCCAUAUCUUUAACGUUUGCUCGAGUGUCGUAACGGUGUUUGGUUGGUUGGUUGGUUUCCAGGUUAACUGAGCAAUGAUUUUAUCAAUUAGGCUGUUUUAGUGGAUUUUAAUGCAUACGAUGUCAUGUAAUGCAAAUGCAUGAAAUGAAUGCCUAAAGAGAUGUUAACUUUGAUUCUAUUACAUUUAAAAAACUUUACUAGAAGACAAAUUUCUUUACAUAAAAUAGAUAUAUAUAUAUACGGCUUUGCCCUCAUAUUCCAGUCAAAGACAUCUUCUCCUUCAUCUGGAUGCUAGGAUAAACCUUGCGAAUUCUUCAAAAUGGACGUCUCUUCUAUCUCUUUUUGCUUGAUCCUGGUUGAUAUCCAUCAUCUACCCAUCUUUGUAAUGCUCCUCGGCUUCUUUUAGAUUGUCGAAAACUCCUGAAUAAUCAGCUUGAAUCCUCGGGCCAUAGAGUAAAGUCACGAACUCUUCUGUCGCUCUUCUUGUGUUUCUCAGAAUAUAUUCAGGCAACCGUAUUAUUUUCCAUUUUAUUAAGAAAUCCGUAUUCCAUUACAAGCUUUCUAAGUUAGUAAUCGAAUGUGAGUCAACACCUCUUUUCUAUAAUGAAAUGCUAUGAAGUCAAAAAAUGUCAUGCAGUCAAAACAAAACACAACAAGUUAGCAUCAGGUAUAAACAUUAAAUCCAAUACAAUCAAGAAAUAACAAAAACUCCUAGUCAGGUAUCUACUAAGGUUUAGAGUACUUCUACGUAGGGUAAGUUCCUAAAGCUCACUAUAUAAGGUUUAGUUUCUAGAGUAAGGGUACCCGAACUAGCUGAUUCCUCGAUCCUCACCCAUUAUAGGCUCAUGUGGAUCGAGUCCAGUUCAGGGGGAUACAUUUCCCUAUGGCUGCACGGAGAUGAAAUCUCACGAAGACAUAGGUACGGAUGUAUCCCGGAAGCGGUCCAUUACCCUGCACGGAGGUGAAAACCUCACAAAUGACUAGUUUCUCGCUCAAACUUAAGGGGUAAAAUGCAAAAUGCAAAUGCAAUGUUGCCAACAUACCAUGAUGAAAAAAAUCAAUAAGUACGAAGGGAACUCAUGAAUUUUAAAAACUUUUGAUUUUUGACACAAAGACAAAUAUAAUCAGUUUAUGGCUAGACUCUCUAACGUCCCCAGUGGAGUCGCCAAGCUGUCGAAACCGUCUUCUUGAAAACAAAAAUUUAGUUGUCGACUUUAAAAAGAAAACUGGAGUCGCCACCGAUCCUUUAUUAAGGUGUGAGCGGCCCACCUUAAAAAUUAUUUUGGUCUACAAGCUUUAAGAAAACAAGUUCGGGAGUCAGUUAUGCACGAGGAAGGGUUAGCACCCUCGUAAUGCCCAAAAUCGGUACCAAAUCGAUUAUUUAAUGUCUUAGUGUCGUGGACUAGAAAGAAGUUAAAAAAAAACCAAAUGAUGAAAUCAGAAAAGGAUAAUCAAUUGUUCAAGACAUGUAAAGAAAUCGACCCAAUACGUUAGGGUACAAUUUCUCAAAAUUCCCGAACUUUGAAUAUCACUUUUAUUUUAUGCGAAAAUAUUCAUUUUGAGAAAGUAACAUGCCACACCCAAUACGUUAGGACACGACAAGUUAAGUUCCAAAAAAUGAUUUUUAUACUCAUGCAUUUUGAAUAAAAAAUAUUCUCGAUUAUUUAAAAUUAACAAAGAAAAUCGGAACCCAAUACGUUAGGGCUCAAUUUUCUCAGAAUUCCAAAUACCGAAUUGUGCCUUUUAUUCGAAAAUUCUUAUUUCGAGAGUCAAAAUAUCAUGACCAGUAAGUUAGGACCUGACAUUUUUGGAUUCCCGAGAACAAGCUUUUAUUUGAAAUUUGCAUGAAUUUAUUUCAAAAUGAAUACCUGGUUUUCUAAAUUCACCAAGAAAUAAUCGCAAUCCAGUAAGUUAGGAUACGGUUUUUCUCGAGAAUCAUGAAUGCCAAAUAUUUUGGAAUUUUAUAAAAUAUGAUGAUUUUAAUGCUUUGACAGAACCAAAAUAUAUUUUCUUUAAAAAGUGUAGAAAAAUGCUAAUGUAUCACAUAAAAUCAAUAUUUUAAUUUUAAAUUAUAUGCAAAUAUGUAUUUUCAAAAUAUAAGUAUGAUACAUAAAUAAAUUUUAAAAACAUGUAUAUACACAUAUUAAAACAAGUAUAUAUAAGUAUACAUAUAUAAAAUAAAAUAAUGAAUGAUAUAUGUAUAUCAAAAUAAAAAUUAUUAAAAUUUCUAAAAAAAAUCAUGUAUGUAUAUACGUAAUGAAAAUUGUAAAAAUAAAAAUAAAAAAUAUGCAAAUGCGUAUAUAUUUACAAAAAAAAAAAUAUAAGUAUACAUGCUUUAGUAAAACAGAAAUAAUAAUAGUAUAUGAAGAAAUUAGGAAAAUGUGUAUAUAGAUGUACAUAUAUAUAAAAAAAUUGUAAAAGUAUAUUUACAAUAAUUUUGAAGGGCGUACGUGUAUGUCAAUAUCUAUUUAAAAGCUAAAAAAGAAAUAAUAACAAUAUAUAUAUAAAAAUAUGUAUAUGUAUUAGAGAAAUAUUUAAUAUAUAUAUAUCUAUUAGCAUACAUAUGCGUAUAUAUGUAAGUAUAAUUAUAAUACUAUAUAAUAUAAUAAUAAUAAUAGAAAUAAUAAUAAUAAUAACAAAAACUAAAAAAUAAACUACAAUAAGAACCUUAAAAAGGACCAUUAAGGAUUAAACUGAGAGCUAAACGAAGUUAAAAGGCCAAAUUUAAAAAUAGAAAACACCAGGAAGGACCAAAUUAAUACGCGCGCCAUGAGAGGAGGACUUAAAAAGAAAUUUUCCCAAGUCACUCAAGCACUGCGCAGUGAUAUGGAUUAAAUCAUCAUGCGAGCGAAAUAUUUGGGCCGAAUUUAAAAGAAAAAAACUUGAUUAAACACAUCGCAAAAUGGGGAGGGCUAGAUGCGAAAUUUCCCCACUCAGGGGCAGAACGCGCGGAUCCCCCCUCCGGGUCGGGUCGACGCGCGGGUCAUGGCACCCUAAACGGCGCCGUUUCGUCUUGUUUUAAAAACUCCUAAAUCUGACUUUCUUUGAUUUGAAACUGGAAAGAAAAAAAAAACCCUAGGGGUUUUGUUUUCUCCCCCGAGCCGCUUCCAGUCGAUCCGGCCGAUCCGAAUCUCGGCCCUAAAUCCGGCUCCGAUUAAGACGAAGCAGACAUGGUUUUCAAUGGCGCAACCACGUAGGUAAUAUUCCUUUUUUUUAUUUUUUUUUGUUUAACACACAAAAAUCGGUAAAUAAAUUAAGCAAACAAAGAAGAGAAAACAAAACUAAGAAGAACGUUACCUCUUUUAUUUCACUCUUUUUUCGAUUUUCAGUAUUCCCCCCCCCCCUAUUUACAUAUUGAAGUUGGCCUUUUAUAGCCAAAAUGGAAAUGAAAAGUUCUCUUUGUUGUGUUUUUGUUGCUGCAGGUGAUGCGUGCGGGGAAGGCGCGAGAUUCGUGGCGACGAGGAGCGCGAUGUGCGGGCGCGACGCGCGGGAGUAGUUGCAGCACCAGUUACUGCGGCGCUGAAGCAGAAGCUUGUUUAGGGUUUCUGCAAUUUUGAUGUUUUUUGGGCUAGGGUCUGAAAAUUAGUUGUUGAGCCUGUUAAUGGUUUGGGCCCAGGCAUUAUUGGGUUUUUACAAUUCCUCAAUUAUUUGGAUUAGAUUUAGAUUGAAAAACAAUCGACACUUGAUUUGAUUGUUUAAAUUUAUAAUAUUUAACUUGAGUGAGAAUGAAUUUUUUACUUAAUUAAAAUUUUAAAAUAGUAAGCUCGAGUCUUUUUUUUAAUUAUGUUUAUAUCAUGUAUAAAUUUUGUUCAAAUUUAUUUUGAUUUAAUUCUCAUACUAUAUAUUCUUAAUUAAAUUCGGAAUAUAUUCUGUUUAUCAAUUUAAUUAUACAUCGUAACAAUGGAUUUGGAUUAUAGUUAAUUAUAUAUUGAAACUAAAUAAUUAGUUUAAGGAAUUAAAAGAGAGAUUAUUAUAUUUUAUAAAAUUUGAAUAGAUUAAUAAUUAAUUCGAGAUUAAAAAAUUGUCUAUCUUUAUUUCCCCGGAGUUUAAUUUAUUAUUUUCCCUAAUUUUAAAUCCAAAUAAUUAGGAGAAGAAAAGGCUAAAACCAAACCUUUUUUACGGUUUGAACUAAACCCCAUGCGGUCUGGAAAAUUGCAAGUUUCCAGAAUACCUACUCUUACUAAUUAUAAGAAAAUUUAUAAACUGCUUUCCAUUUUAGAGGACGAAGGCCUUGCCUACCCCUCCUUCGUAAUUUUUUCUUUUGUCUAAAUUAAUCUUGAAAUUUGAUAGGUUUUUUUUGUUCUUUUAGUCAUUUAACAUUGGUUAAUGGUACAUCAUUACUUGGAUUUGUUUUAAAUAAAUUCUUUCUAUCCUUUUUAGAUUUUAUGUAAGUUGUUUAAAAUUUCCAAAUAAUGACAUGAUUGUUUAAUAUAAUUCAAGUUCAAGAACUAGAUUAAAAAAACUGUUAAGUUCAAUUCAAAGACUAAAAUAUUAAUUUAUCCCUAAUAUUCGUUACCCUGUUUUAAAAUUUCAUUGAAUUUCUUGCCUGCCUACUUUUGUUAUUGACCGUUGCUUUGUUCUUCGUUUUUUAAUUUGAAGUCCCAUAAUUGAAAAAAAAAAUUGGAUGAGAAAUAUCUAAAAUCAUUAGAAUCAUGAAAAAUAUAAUCUCAAAUCCAACGAAUUACCCAUAUCAAGUUACAGAGACUUAGGCCUGGCUAUGGUGAAUUCAUCCCCUACAUUUUAGCAGUCCCAGGUAAACAACACUUACUUUGGUUGGUGUAUGGUAUAAUGAGUCUGCAAAGAAGACACAAAAAAUGCAGCAAUGGCACCCACAAGUGCGAAAAACGUCCAACGAGUCCUAAAACAAGUAUGAUAAGCUUGAGCUGGAUAUUGAAUCCACAUAUUCUUACAAUGAUUAACCUCACUGUAAGUCGUCUGACUACGAACCACAUCAGUGUUCAUCUUCUUGAUAAGCUUAGCCACUUCUUCAUCACUCCCCAAUCUAUUGUAUAGUAUGCCAGCGCCUCUCAGUUCCUUAACAUCUUCGGCUUCAUGGAUCAAUGAAUCAAGGAAAUCCAUCUAUGAAGUCACGGUGAAAUCGUUUUUGAAAUCCGCACAUUUCGUAAGCUAUUAAGUUCAUGGUUGAAUCAUCGAAGGUGAUCGGCGGUAACCGUAAUUUGCCGACGAAGAAGAUAUGGUUGAAACUGAUGUCGGAUAAACAACUUGUUUUGCUUGCUUUGAAACAUAUACCGGCCUUUUUAAGCUCUUUUACAUUACGAAAGGUGUGUGAAUGGUGCGGUUUUGUUCUUGUUUGGCUGCUGCGAUUUAACGUGCACAUGAAAAAUCGAGUGCAAAACCUAAAAUACCGCCAUGGUUUUUCCUUUUUUCUUUUUCGAAAAGGAGUCUUACUCGUAGUAGAUUCAAUAGGUGAAUUCGCUCUCCUUUUUGCUGCUGCCACCAUUCACUAGAGCAAAAUCUGUGUUAGUCGGGAGCCAAGCUAUAUAUAUAUAUAGGAUUUGGAAUUGUAAAUUUUUAUCAUAACUAAAGUUAAAAGAUUUCAAAAUCGAUAGUCCAACCGGAUAAGUUUAAUUGGUACAAUCAAUUCAUCUAAUUUGAUUAAAUAAAUCAUUAAAAAUAUUAGUUCAAUUACUUGAUUUAAUUAAUUCUUUUUCCAGGUUCGACAUGUUUAUAUAGGUUCUCAAAUCAAAUAGUCUAAUGAUUUUAUUCAAAUUGAUACUUCAAUUUAUUUCCAAUCUAAUCCUAUUUAAACAACAUCAACUAAAAUAUAAUUUGUAUUAUUGUAUUAAUGCAAAAAUUUUACCAUUUUUAAAGAUGUUAAACUAUCAAUUUUCCAUUUUAAAAAGUUGGAUCGGAAACAUAAUUAUUUUCUAAAAAAAAAUGUACACUCAACAGCAACAAUACAAAAGGGACGAGUGGAUUUGAAAAAUGAAAUAUUACAUUUUAUUCGCUUUAAAAAUUAUAAAUUAUAAAAUUAUAUAAUAAUAAAAUUACGCUUUUUAACUCUUCAAAAUUAAAAAUAUUUAAUCCUUUUAGAAAAUGAUGAAAUCACACAUGAAAAAUUUAAGAAUUAAACCAUACUUGUCGGUCGAGUUGGUUGAACAGAAAAUUGAGUAAGAUAUUGGUCUAGAAUAAGAGAUUAGACCAAUUGAAUAGAGUGAUAAAUUGAUUUUUUUAUAUUUUUAAUAUUUUCAAAAUUUUAUAUAAUUCAACUGGAAUGAACUAAUAAACCAGAAAUGAGAGUCUAAUCGAUUCAAUGACCCAUUUAAUAACAUUUAUAAACUCCACAAAAUGAUUCUGUUCUAAAUUCCUUGAAUUACCUGUCCUGCUGAUGUGAUUGUGGCUCUUUCAUGUAAGCUGGGGUGAUAACAGUGUCGUCGAUGUAUCUUUUGAUCGCCAUCAUGAACUUUUCGCCAUUUUUGCUCGAGCUUGUAAGCAAGAAGACGAAAAGGCAAUUAAUACACAAAAAAAAAAGAAAAAAGAAUCAAACCAGAAUUCUAGGCUAGGAAGCACAGACACGGCUCAUCUCUCCCCGUAUCGGUGUCGUACGUGUGUCCGAUACAGACACUCGACAGACAUACCCAAAUACGUACGGGACAAGCUGGAAUAUAUCAAAAAAAAUUUAUUGGCAUAUCUUACUAUAUCCAUGUCCUAUUUUUUAAAAAUUAUCAUGUUACCGUGUCUGUAUCAUAUCGUACCCGUAUUGCGUGUCUAUAUUCAUAUUCCAUAGCUUGUAGGUAAGGGCUGAACAAAGAAUUGAGUAAGGCACUAGGUCUAGAAUAAAGAAUUAGACCAAUUGAAUCGAAUUAUUGAAUUGAUUUUCUUUGUAUUUUUAAUAUAUCUUUAAUAAUUUUAAAAUUUUAUAUGAUUGGACCGAGUCGUUAAUCAAUAAAAAUUGAGGGUCUAAUAGAUUAAAAAAACACCUUUUUAACAUAUAUAAAACUCAAAAAAAUAUUAUUUUUUAAAUUCCUUAACUUACCUGUCCUGCUGAUGUGAUUCUGGCUUUUUAACGGUGUUGUUGGUGAACCCUACGGUUGCCUCCAUGAACUUUCUGUCAUCGUUCGAUCUUGUAAGCAAUUCAAGAACACGAAAAGGUAAUUGGUUUUCCAACAAGAACAGAUCCGAGUACUCAAAUGUCAGCAGUUCGUUUUUAAUAGACAAUUCGUUCGACAGAUGCUCAUAAUCUUGGCCAUCAACAUCAUCAUUACCGUAACGCAUAUAAACUGCUUGUAAAAUUGUGCAGCCGUCAACGAAGAACAUCCAAGCCAGAUUCUCGUUAUCGUUGGUAUACUUAUCUAAUUCCUUUGGAUCAUAGCAUCUCUUCAAGUCAUCGAUCUCUGUCUUAAUGUUGUUGUACAAGGUUCCCCUAUCGACGCCAAUGUUUUUGACCAAAAGUGUUGUUAAUUUGCACUUGAGCUUCUUGGAUUCAUGGAGGGUGGGAUCAGCGUGGUGGAGUGGACCGAUUGAGAUCACUUUCGGCUUGAAAUACUUCCUGAAAUCUUCGUGACUGCCAAGGGUUGAUGGGACUCUUCGUAUCAAUGGUUUGGCUUUGGGGUCGAGUUGGCUGCCGUCGAAAGCUUCGUCUAAUGACCGGAAAUUCUCUAAUUCGCCAUUGCUGAGAGUGAGCUCCGUACCCGGCAUUGGAACGAUCGUCUCUUGGGGAUUGUUGGUGGUUUUGGUGAUUGUUUGAUCAGUAGAAACUGCACCGCCGGGAGCUCCGACGGCGCGGCCUCCUUUCUCCGUGGACGACAUUUUCAGGCUGAGCGGUUCGAAAAAAGGUGAUUUUGGAAACUGUUUUUGGCUGAGUAAUGUGGGAAAAAAGGUGGCAAAAUAGCUACGAUGAUGACAAGUGUUUGGAUAGCAUAUAUAAUAAACGUAUGGAAAAUAGUUUGGUGUAAUAUUAAAUUUAGCCCUUAAUAUUUAUAUUUUUUUAAUUUAAUCCUUUUUUAAUUAAAUUAAUUUUUACCUUAUGAAAGAGUCAAAUUUGAUUACCAACACUUUAGAAAAGAGUUGAAUUAAUGUUUUUUAACGAAAAUAGUGAUUAAAAUGUUAGAUUUGUAAACAUGACAAUUCAGUGUAUAUAUUUUUUCGUUUUUAUUUUUAAAUUAUCGUUCUGUUACACAAUUUAUUCCGAAUAUCAUUAUUAAAAAAUUUUAAAUUUUAAAAAUGAAAAACUGGUAUAGUUUUAAAAUUAAAUUGAGUACAAAAUCAUUUUAAAAUUAUGAGUAAAAAUAUAAUUUGAGAUAAUGCAAUUUUUUUAAGUAUGGUAUUUGGUCUUACUUUUCUUUUUUCUCUACUAGGGAGCCACUCCCAAGACUUUAUUAAAGGAUUUGGGUUACAUUGGCUGCUCCAACAUACUAUUUCUUUAAUCACAUAAAUUAAUAUCAUUUCAAUUAUAUGGGUCGGUACAUAUCAUUUCAAUAAAAUUUUGAAACAAUUAAUUUUAUUUUCGGCACAAAAGCGCCGGGAAAGGGGGCAAGUAGGGAUUGAAAAAUUGCUUUUUAUCUUUUCAAUGUAUAAAAUUUUAAAUUAUAAUUUUUGGACUCUCAUAAAUCACAAUAUUUUAAUUUAGUCUUUUAAAAAAAUUAUAAAAAUAUUAACUAAUACAAUGAUGAAACUGGGUCUUCAACUCGUAUCAAAAUUUAUAACUUAAUUUUGCUUCCUCAAAAAAAUUUUCUAACUUUACCCUUUUUUUUGCACUAGUAAAAAUUUUAAUCUAUAUCAAUUACACUGAUGAAAACAUUGUGCACUGGCUGGUAUAUAAAAGAUAUUAAAAAUAUAUAUAAAAAUACUAUUUCUUUUACCAAUUUUAAACUUUAACAAAAUUAAAGUAGAAAAGAAUUAUUUAACAAAUAAGCCAAUGAACAGAAAAAGUGGAAAUAUAAAUUUUAUUAAAUUAAUUUUGUUAGUAUGAGAUGAUGAUGUUGUGAGUUUUUUAAAAUAAUGUUAUGGUUAAUGUAUAUAUUUAUAAUACUAAUGAUAAUUGUAGUAUGGUAUUUGAUCUUCCUUUUCUUUUUCUCUAGUAGGAGCCACUCUCGUGUCUUUUAUCAAAGGAUAUUUAGUUUCAUUGGCUGCUCCAACAUACUAUUUUCUUAAUGAGAUAAAUUAAUAAUGUAGUUAAUUUUAUAUUGAUUUCAAUCAUAUUCAUCGCUAGAUAUUGUUUCAAUAAGAAAUCAAAACAAUCAAAUUUCAUUGUCUACACAAGAGCAAUGGGAUUGGAAAAUUACUUUUUUAUCUUUUAAAUGUAUACAAUUUUAAAUUAUAAUGGUAAAAUUGUACUUCAGUCCCUCAUAAAUCACAAGAUUUUAAUUUAGUUGUUUAAAAAAUUUAUAAAGAUAUUAGCUAAUACAAUGAUGAAAUUGGAUCUUAACUCUUACCAGGAUUUAUAAUUUAGUUUCGGUCCCUCAAAAAAAUUUUUUGACUUCACCCUUAUUUCCACACUAGCAAAAAUUUUAAUCUAUAUCAAUUGUAGUGAUCAGAACAUUGUACAUUAAUUAGUGUAUGACUAAUAUUAAAAAAAAUAUAUAAAAAUACUAUUUCUUUUAUCAACUUUAGAGUUAUAAAAUUUAUAUAAUCCCAUUAAUUUAAUGUUUUUAAAUAUUUUAAAAAUCUAUCGAUAAUUUUGAAAAGAUAUACAAAAACAGGCUAGUACUAAUAUGUAUCAAUUUUUGUGGAAAAAUAGUGCAUGUAGUACUAACUACCUUGGAAUAUAAAAAUCAUUUAGUUCUUUAGUUUGGCAACUUUCCUCAGCUUAGUCCUUAAACUUUUAUUUUAUCUACAUUAGUCUUUGAACUUGACAAUUUUUUCUUAUUUUGAUGCAUAUAAUGACACAUCAUUCUGAUAUUGUGUAAUGCCAUCACUUGAAAAUUAUAUUUUUAAUAAAAAAAAUAGGUGCUGACAUGAUAAAACGUCACCAUAAUAACCAAAAAUGAGAAAAAUUGUCAAAAUUCAUGACUGAUGUAAACAAUGGUGAAACCAGGGGAUGGCAAGGGCUCUGCCCCGUCCCCCAAAAUGAUUUUUUUUUCAUUUAGGCCAAUUUAUAAUUUAUAAAAUUUUAAAUUAGUAAUGAUAAAAUUACAUUUUACCCCAAAAACGAUAAAAAUUUGAUUUAAUCAUUUAAAUAUUAUAAAAAUAUAGAGUAUUAAAAUAGUAAAAUUAUAUUUUUAUUAUUACAAAAAUAUACAACUUAAUUUCGGCCCGUCCCAAAAGAAUAUUUGACUACACCCUUGAAUAUGGGCAAAAAAAGAAAGUCUAGAGAUCGAAUUGAAAAAAGUUACAAAAUUUAAUGAUUAAAUGUUAUCUUACUAUUUUAUUUAACUAAAAGUGUGUCAUAGACACCAAAGUCUUGUAAUUGAGUAAUAAAAAUUCAAUGCUUUUAAAUAAAUCUUGAAUUUAAAUCUCAUAAACAGAGAAAACAAUACUAAAAAAAUUUUACUUCCCACUUAAGAAUCCAACCCAACUCAAUUUCAAAUUUAUUGCAUAAAAUACGAGCAUGCAUGGAAUAUAUUGUCUCUAACCUUCUCUUUCACUUACUUUUUUAGAUAUUCAAACUUAAAUGAGUUCUAUGAUUAAACAUUUUUUGACCACAAAAUCAAUCACUUUGUCAUGAAAUUAUCAUUACCCAUAUUCUCAAACUUGAUAUUUUUAGGAACAUCAAAUUUUUUUAUUGAAGUUAUUAUACUUGAUUGUUUGCGCAUAUAUUAAUUGCAUUUCUCGUUCUACCUAACUCAUGAAAAAUCUCAACUUGGAACCACAUAUUAUUCACAUGACAAUCAACCAAUUCUUUUUGUUUUUCUUUUUUUGUGUAAUUAAGGUAAAAUAAUUUUGAUCGUCUUUCAUGGAUUCAAUAAUCUAGAACAUAAAAGGUUAACAAAAUUAUAUUUUUAAAGUAUGAUUCAAUAUUUAAGUUAAAUUGUAAUUUUUUUAGAUAAAAUGUGACAAAGGUUAUUCAAUUAUAAAAAGUUAUAAAAUAGUCAUUUAAUUAUUAGUAAAUUUUUAUUUUAGUUGUACAACUAUUUAAUUUUGUCACUAGCUGGCUAACAUAAAAAUAAAAGCACCCAAAAAUCUAAGAUAAUUUGGUGAUAAAAAAUAAAAUUGAAUAAUUGAGUGACUAUUUUGUAACUUUUCAUAAUAAAAUGACAAGAAAUCAUAAUUUAGUUUUGCAAGGAUAAGUAAGAAGAAGAGCUUAUCCCUACAAGACAGGUAGCAACAGUUAUUGAAGAAUUAUUCACGUUUUAGAUUUUUUCUUCUAUGUAAAUACAAUGAUGUUAAGAAAUUGACUAGUGCCAAGCUCACUUUAGCAACGAUCACUUCAAAUUUUCAAGCAUACAACAGCAGCAGCAGGCAGCAGGCAGCGAACGUAUGCACUAAUCAUUUGUUUUCAAGUACCAAUAUUAAGGGAAAAAAGUAAUAUUUAAUUAUCUGAAUUUGAUAAUAGAGACGAAGUUUAAAAAAAAGUUUUAGAAGUUGUUUUUUUAUGGGAGUUAAAAUAUAAUUAUAUUGGUUUGUAAUUUUAUAUUUUUACAGGGAAUAAAUUAUAAUUUUAUCAUUUUGGAAGUCAAGAUGUAAUUUUGUCAUGUAUUAACAUGUAAAAUUACAACUUUUAGGGGGCCAAGGCCUUGGUAAUUUAUCUACUUUGAUUUUUGAACUUUUUUUUUGUUUAAAUUAGUCUUAAAAUUUGAUAGUUUUUUUUCUUAAUUUAGUCCUUGAACCUUGGUCUAUGCUACAUUAUCACUUGGAAUUAAAAAUAUUUAUAAUUUCUUUUUAAUAUUUUUAGAUUUUUUGUAAGUUAUUUUAAAUUUUUAAAUGAUGACAUGACAUAAUCUCAAAGUGUCACACUUUCGCUCUUUAAUAGAAUUCAAGUUCAUGGACUAAAUUAAAAAAAGUUAAUAAGUUCUGUUAUUAACCAUUGCUUUGUUCUACAUUUUUUCUUUUGCUUUUUAGGUCCCAUAAUUGAAAAAAAUGGAUGGGAAAUUUCUAAAAUCAUUAGAAACAAGAAAAUAUGAUCUCAAAUCCAAUGAAUUACCCAAUCAAGUUACAGAGACUUAGGCCCUGGCUAUGGUGAAUUCAUCCCUUACAUUUUACCAGGCACAGGUGGAUUUUAAAAACACAAACAAUUAAAUUGGCUAAAUUUAUUCAUAUCCACCAAAUUAUUAGGAUUUUCAAAUAUAUUCAAGAAAUUAGGAGAGACAUUGGAUGAAACUAGAAGGGAAAUCACAAAUUGAACGAAAAGCAAAAUGACAUGGAAGGAGUAAAAGAAGAGAUGGCUAAAUUGCCUGAAAAAUUAGCACUUAUGUUAAGCAACAUUGAUGAUAAAACACAUAGGAUACAGCAUAUGUAGUGUAGCUUGGAAGAGAACAUGUAUAAGAUCAAUAAGGAUCAAAUUAAAAUUAUGGAAGAAUUGAGGGACUUGAAAAGGGAAAUGAAAGAGUUAAAGGAGGAUGUGAAAGAAGUUAAAUUAAAAAUUAGUGCGAAAGAAAGAUAAGGGUAUUUUUUUGCACAUCGUGAAUGUAAUAACGAAGCUCGAUUGUCGUCAGUGUUGUAUGGAAGAAUCGAAGAUGGAGUGAAUGAGUAUUUAGGAUUUUAAAGUUAAUAUCGAAAAAUUAUUGUAUGCGGGUAUGUGAGUGUGUUUCUGAUGUAAGGAAUAGUGUAAAAUAAAUUACGGUUUAGGGUUUUGUUAUAUAAGGAAGGAAAGCGCCUUUUAAGAUUGUUAGAGGCACUUAUCCUCGUGAUGUGUUUUUUUUUAGUGUAUGUAUUAUGGACCUAUUGAUGUAGUACAAGUUUAGCUCUUUUGAGUGUGUCUCGUGAUGUUAUGUAUGUUUUAUUGGAGCUCUUGGCUCCUAUGUUUCAAUGAUAAUAAAAUAUAUUUCAAGUAUAGUACUUUUGUAUAUUUAGAAUAUAAUAUUAUAUUUUUAUUUUAAGAUAAUUCCUCUACUACAACAAUGUUUAAUGUAAAUAUGAAUUCAUAUUGUGAUUUAUUAUUAUCAUCUGAUUGGAAUGUAACAUCUAUUUAAACUUCAACACGAAACUCAACUCUUCCAUAAACAAGAAAAAUAUCAUUAGUUCUUCGUAAGUACUUUCACCUCAAUUCCAUGACUAUCACUUGGAUAACUUUGGUUAUCAGCUUGUGACACUUGGAGCUAUGCCAAAAAAUGGUAUACAGAGCCUGUCAUCUUUGAGAGCCUUUAUUGUUAGUAGUUGUUUUUGUGAGAAACCUUGAAGAAAAGAAACUGAGGCUAUUGUUUUUAUUGUUGCUACAAAAUGAAUUUUACACCACUACUACCACUUGUUUUUACUGGUGAAAACAACCACAUUUGGGCAAUAAAGAUGAAGACUUAUCUGCAAGCACAUGACUUAUAGAAUGUGGUUGAGAAUGACACAGAACUAGCUCCAUUGAGGGCCAAUCCCACUAUUGCACAAAUUAGACAACAUAGUGAAGAGUGUGCUAAGAAGCACAAAGCUACUAAGAAGCACAAAGCUAUGUCAUGCUUACAAAAUAGAGUGUCUGUUGUGAUCUUCACUCAAAUAAUGGCUUGUGCCACUCUAAAAUAGGCCUAGGAGAAGCUAAAGGAAGAGUUUUGGGGGUCAGACAAGACUAGACAACAACAAUUAAUCAACCUCGGGAAGGACUUUGAGAACUUGAAGAUGAGAGAGUCCGAAACAAUCAUGCAGUACUCUGAUAGGAUAAUGGCCACAGUCAACAACAUCAGGCUCCUUGGAGAUGAAUUCAGUGAGAGUAGAAUAGUUAAAAAGGUCAUUACAACCCUUCCUGAAAAUUUUGAAGCAAAAAUCUCCUCAUUGGAGGAACCGAGAGAUUUAUCAACCAUCUCACUAUUUGAGUUGAUAAAUGCUCUAUAUGAAUUAGGGCAAAGAAGUGCCAAUAGGUUGGAGGAGCAUCCUAAAGGACCUUUCUAAGCAAAAACCAAGGAAAGCUCAGGUUUGAGCUACAAAGGAAAGAAACCAUGGCUUGACAAAAGGGAGAAACCAAAUAAGGAUGCAAGGAAGAAAAGGUUCCCACCACGCAUUCACUGCAAAAGGUCCACACACUUAGAGAGGUACUACUGGUACAGGCUUGAUAUUCAGUAUAGGAGCUGCAAGCAGUUUGGUCACAUUGAAAAGGUUUGCAAGAACAAAGGAAGGGCACAAUCUCAGCAGCAAAAUCAAGGUCAAGCUGCUGAGGAUAUUCAAAAGCUCAGGAGGAGCAUGUUUUCACUACAUCCUGUUUUGCAACCUCAAGCAAAGUUAGAAGAGACUAGUUAGUAGACAGUGCCUGCACUCAUCAUAUGGCAUCUGAUGAAGGGUGAUUCAGAGAUCUUGACAGAUGCUUUGUUUCCAAGCAGAGGCAAUGUUGUUAUCAGCACACAUUCAGGUAACAAAACAAUUUCAGAUGUUCUUUUUGUACUUGACAUAGACCAAAAUCUGCUUAGUGUUGAUCAAUUAAUAUAUAGAAAAGGGUUAUUCACUCAACUUUAAGAACAACUCCUGUGUUAUUAAGGAUUUUCUUGGUCAAUAAUUAGAUACAAUUGCUAUGACUGGAAGAUGCUUUAUGCUGGAUGUGUUGGAAAUGAAGGCCUAUACUAGUCUUGCUGAUAAAGCUAGUUUAUGACAUAAAAGGUUAGGCCAUUUCAAUUAUACAUCACUCGGUUUGCUGCACAAACUCAAUUUGGUUGAAGACAUGUCUAAGAUUGUAACGCAUAUAAACUGCUUGUAAAAUUGUGCAGUCGUAAACGAAGAACAUCCAAGCCAGUUUCUCACUAUUGUUACUAUACUUCUUUAAUUCCUUUGGAUAACAUUUUUCAAGCCAUUGACCUCUGUUUGUUGUACAAGGUUGCUUAUCGACGCCAAUUUUUUUGACGAAAUGUGCUGCUAAUUUGAGGGGAAAUGGAGAGAUUACAUUACGAAUAGCAGAACUGGAUACUGUCGUACUUGAUUAUAAAAAGGUGUCGGCUGGAAUUUAAUUCUCAUCGAGCAGUUUUUUUUUAUAAAAUAACUUGAAAAUUUUUAUUAAUCAUAAAAAUGAUAUUUUUUAUUAGGUAAUAAAUAAUAAAAGUGAUUGAAUUAAAGAGAUUAGUGCCACGACCUAUUUCGCAUCAGUGCGGCAGAAAGUAAUAAAGUAUGCACUAGUCCAAUUGUUUUUAAUUGCUAAUGUUUAGGGAUAAAAUAAUAUUUAAUUAUCGAAAUUUGGUAAUAGUAACGGAGUUGAAAAAUAUAUAUUUUCAUUGAAGUUAAAAUGUAAUUUAAUUAUAUUAAUUUUUAAUUUUACAUUAUUUAAGGGACUAGAUAAAAUUUUUAUUAUUUUGGAAGUCAAUAUGCAAUUUAACAUUUAAAGUUACAACUUUCAAGGAGACUCAAAGCAUAAAUUACCAUUUUAGGGUACCAAGGCCUUGCCUACCCCUUGUCACCACCCCUCAUUGGUAAUUUAUUUUUUUGUCUAAAUUUAUCCUGAAAUUUGAUAGCUUUUCUUAAUUUAGUCCUUGAACGUUGGUCUAUGCUACAUCUUGGAAUUUUAAAAAAAAUUAAAAAUUUCAAAUGAUGACAUGGUUCUUUAAUAGAAUUCAAGUUCAAGAAGUUCAUUGAAUUUCUUGCCUGUUUACUUUUGUUAUUAACCAUUGCUUUGUUCUUCUUUGUUUAAUUUUAGGUCCCAUGAAAAAAAAUGGAUGAGAAAUUUCUAAAAUCAUUAGAAACAAGAAAAUAUGAUCUCAAAUCCAAUGAAGCAUUGAAAGCUCAACCAGUACAGCAGCAACAUUUUGUUCCAUAUGCAACUAGCUUUAGUUCAUUUGUAAUUUGUAUUUAAAGUUAGUAAGAUUAGUUGAUGAUUUGAAUGAUGUCCAAUGUGAUGUAAUAGUUGAUAUGUCAGCUGCAUUUUGUGUGUAAUUUAAGCUUUGUUUUAGUCAAGUUACUAGUGGGAGUAGUUGUGCAUUUCAUGUAACUUAUAUGUUUUUCUUAAUGAAAAAUGUUUAUGAAAUAGUUUUCAGGUUUCAUUUUUGUUCAAUUCUCUUUGCAUCCGUUUCUUGCUUCUUUUCUCCUUUGUUUUCUGUCAAAACACCAACAAAAAUUCACAUGUAUACAAAUUAGGACAACGUAAGUUGUCACUGAACAGCCCUAUUUAAAGAAGAAUAUACCAAAAUAAGACAUACCUAAGACGUGAACACUGACCUGAUCAUGUGAUACAAAGCUCUAAGAUGUUCUGAAUUUAUGAUUUUAUUUUUUUUCUUUCAUUGGGUUUCUUCUCUUCCUUUUACACUAUCAAAAACCCAUAUAUGAUUUUACAAAUACUUUCAGGCUUCUUCGUCUUGCUAAUUUCUGCAGAACAUUACUGGUCUAUCACAGCCCCAAAGGUUCCACCAUUUGAAGCACAAGAAAUUGGCACAUCAUAUAAGUUCUAAAUCUGUCACCAAUAACCGAGAAAACUGAGUAGAUUUACAUUAAUUAUGCUUAACAUUACACUUCAGGCAUACAGACAAAUAAAAGUCAAAUCGAAAUAACACUAAACAUGCUCGGAGUCGGAGGUGAAGAGGCGGUUGAAAGAGCGCGGAUUGAAGAGAAGAGGACUUGCGAGGUGGCGGGUAUUGGGGGCAAUGGAUGAGUGUUUUGAGGUGGGUUUUGAAAGAGCGUUUGAAGGAAAGCAAUAGAAACAUGGUGGAAGAAAGGAAGAGUUCAAAAGGAUGAGCUAAUGGAAGGAAAAUUUUAGGUUUUGUUCUUUCUUUGAGAUCAUUUCAUAGAAUUUAUUAAGAAAGGAAGCAUCGAAGGAAGGAAAGGAGCUUAUUAGCGUUGUUUUCUGGUUUGGAUGUUUGGUUUAUUUUAUUAUUCAGAUUUAAUUUUUUUUAAACAAUGAAACAAGUUAUUUGAACGAUGGGUUUGGAACUAGGUUUGAUUUUUCUUUUUAGAGUCAUAACAUAGGCUUGAUGCAUGAAUACUUUUAAUUAUAAUUGUAUUUGGGCUGUAAUAAUAUUCAACUAAAGCACUCUCAACAAUAAUAACUCUAAAUUUCAACUUAAAAAUAACUUUGAGCUAACCUUGAGCAAUUGCUCCAAUCACAACAUGAAUAACUAAAGCUUCCUCAACCUCAACAAAUGUUAUAGUGUCAAGAUUGAACCAACUGUCUCCUAGUACCCUAUCAUGAUCCCAAUAGGCAACUUUGAUGUUGAACAUCCCACAAAAACAUGAAAAAAAAAGAAUCACAAUUAUAUUUAACUCAUGCAACAAGUUUCACCUUUUUUGGUGAGAAAAAGAUCAAGCUACUAUUAAGGAGUCUUGGGCUUCUAGUUGAAGCCUGUGAAUCAUUAGAAUAAGAAAAUUCAUGUAAUAAUUAUUACCAAAUCACAGCCUUGUCAAAAUUGAGGUUUUUCAAAAACAAAACAAUUAACAAAGAAACCCCAACCUACGCUAAUAGAAAGGUAAAAGAACAAUGUGCUCAAUGGAUUUCACUUCUUCCCCACACCUCGGUCAAUGAGGAUCCACCUCCUUAAACCUUUUGGCAAUGUUUUAUUUAGUAGUAAACACAUUGUUGCAAGAGCUCCUAAGGAGAUUUUUUAUAUUUAGUAUCACAUUAAGCUCCCAUGAAUGAUUCAAACCUUUUUAAGACAAAUCAUUGUUAGCAUUUGAUCCGUUAGGGGCCACAGAUGAGAGAGGUAGAGAAAAGAGCCACUAGUACCCAUAUCAAAUGUUGUAAGAUUUGUCUUUCAAAAAAUGCCACUUAGAUUUAUCUCGCUUAGUAAAGGACGUAUUAAGAAUUUUCUCAAUAACCUUAUGUUCAUUUUGGCUAAAACAUUGUUGUAGUAAAUCGCUCUUCCAAACCCACAAGUCUAGAUCAAUUCAGUCCUUAAACAAAAUAAGGCCUAUCUUAAAGGAGGAAAGGAUGGAAUAUAUUAAAAAAGAUUACAAGUCGAGGACCCAUUGAUCAUGUGAAACCAUAAUGUCCUAGUCACUUUUGAAUUCAAAUUGGUUGCAAGAUUUUUAGUUAAAUUAAUAAUUCAAAUUUUUAACAUGAUCAUGGUAUCUUUCAUGUUUGAUGUACGAUUUUUGAAGACUAAUUCUUUCAGGAUUCGUGAUUAUCACUCUCAAUAAUAUUAUUAUAUUUAAAAUUUAAAUAUAAAUUUUCUUCUUAGGAAUUCAAUAUGCCUUCCCUUCUCAAUUUUUGGUCAUUGUUAAUUGAUCAUUUAGAUAGAAAUGCAUUUGUUUUAAACCUUGGUAAUUAGUUGGGUCUAGCGAACUUUAGGAUCUUAUUCUAUGCUUGUAACUCCCAACACUAAUUCUUAAGAAUUCGAUGAUUGAAAUAUUUAGUUUCAAAAUUACUUCAAUUGUAAUUAUUACUUGAUUGUGGUACAAGAUUUCUGCUACAAUGUUUAGAACUAUUCACAAUUCCUCCUUAACAUUUAAUAGAAGGAUAAAGGUAUUUCAACACGCUUCAACCCACAUCCUUCUAUACUAAUAACAAUGUUGAUACUAACUAAAUAAAAACUCAAUUUAACAACUAUACAGAUUUUUAGGUUAAAUAAAUUUUAAGUACACAUAUUGCUGUUGUAAUGUAAGUAUUGAGGAUAAAUCACUCUUCAUUGUCAGAAAAAUUGACCCAGACUAUUAAAUUGUAUAUACAAACAAAAUUAAAGAGUAUUGGUAAAAUAGGGCAAUUUACCAAUAAAAGCCCAUUUUUUUCAAAAAUUACCGAAAUGGGCCCAUUAUUGCAUUAUUUACCGAAAUGGUCCAUUUUCCCCGAAAUCGCGUCCACGUCAGCACGAUGUCAUGGUACGCGCCAGGAAAUCGCGUCCACGUCAGCGCGCGCGCCCUAAAGAACGUGAUUUGCUACCACAUCAGCAACGCGCGCUGACGUGGACGCGAUUUCCUGGCGCGUACCUUGACAUCGUGCUGACGUGGACGCGAUUUUGGGGUUUUUUCACUUUAGGUUUUUUUGGCUUUUAGGGCUUAAGGUUCAGGCUUUUUAAGGUUUUUAGGUCCGGGACGAAAUAAUUUUGAGUUGACGUUUAUGAUCAAACAGUAUAAAAUCGCUUCAAAUAGGAUGCUAUUUGAGAAAAAUUUGUGAAAUUGCGGCCUCGUGGACGCGCUAUUACUACAGUAGGUCAUGGAUGAAAUAAUUUUUUUUAACGUUUCUGAGCAAAUAGUAUAAAAUCUCUUCUAGAAGGAUGCUAUUUGAGAAGAAUUUGUGAAAUCACGGCCUCAUGGACGCGAUAUUGCUACAGUAGCUCAUGGAUGAAAUAUUUUUUUUUGACGUUUCUGAGCAAAUAGUAUAAAAUCUCUUCUAGCACGAUGCUAUUUGAGAAGAAUUUGUAAAAUCGCGCCCUCGUGGACAUGCUAUUGCUACAGUAGGUCAUAGAUGAAAUAAUUUUUUUGACGUUUCUGAGCAAAUAGUAUAAAAUAUCUUCUAGCAAGAUGCUAUUUGAGAAGAAUUUGUAAAAUCGCGCCCUCGUGGACACGCUUUUGCUACAGUAGGUCAUGGAUGAAAUAAUUUUUUUGACGUUUCUGACCAAAUAGUAUAAAAUCGCUUCUAGCAGGAUGCUAUUUGAAAAGAAUUUGUGAAAAUCGCGCCCUCGUGGACGCGUUUUUGCUAGAGUAGCAUGUUUGGGCUGCGGUUAUAAAUUAGGCAGAAAAUAUUCUCAUAAUGCAUAAGUCACAGCAGAAACAAUUUAGAAUGGCUAAGCAGGUUAGAGUUUCAAAUAUGAGUGAACGUAUUAGUGUUGUUAUUUACUACGAUGGUGAGGUUUGCCACACCGAGAAUGGUUUUUUUUUUGUCGAAGAAUACGGUGCGAUUGGUUUUUAACCAGAACAUAGAUUUGACAGAACUUCGUAAAAGAAUUAGGCAUAAAAUUUUCAGAACGAUGCCAAUGAAAGUUCUGUUUAUCACGUGUCGAUUUUGUUCUUCUGUUGAUCCGGUGAUAUAUGACUCGUUCGACAUAAAAGGUGCUUAUAACUUGGAGGCAAUGGUGCAGACUCAUCUUGCUAGUGGAGCACCUUAUAUGGAGUUAUAUGUACAAUUUACAUCGCCAACUGAUGUACUUGCGACCGAUGUUUGAGAUGUAUACACGACCCCUGGCCGACACUCGGUUAGCGGGUUACAAAAUAUGAAACAGACCAUGUUCGGUAGCGGUAUCAAAUGCACAUCACCUGCAAGGCAUUCUGUCGGUGAAUGGGACAUGUACGUCGGUGGCUCGACUUUGAUGCUGGAAAUAUGUACUGGGGAACGGCAUCAAGUUCUAGUGGGUGGCAAUCUACAUCCAAUUGGGAACGUUAUGAAAUGCCCAGAAGAAGGGAUGACGUACUCCCUAUGACAUCAACCGGUGAGGGGACCUCAUACGCUACAGAUGAUUGUGGGUUAGAAGAUGACUCCGAUGUGGAUUCACCUCGAGAGCCUAGACCGGAUGGUGUAGAAGUUGGCUUAUUUUUUGAACCGGAGACUAUUCCAACAGAACUUGAAGAUGCUGGAAGGAGUACAGAUGAAGAAGAAAAUCCACGAUUCAGAGCAUACUCACCUCCAGCUCACAUGCAUAAUGUCGAUCUGUCUGUAGAUGAUACGUUAGAGUUUUCAGAUCUACCACACUGGUUACGUGAUCGUACAAGUUCAGGGGUAGAUUCCGGUGAAUUUGAAGUUGGUAAUCAGUUUACCAACAAGGAUAGUUUUAUUGGUGCUUUGAAACAACAUAGCAUCAAAAACUGCGUUAACUACCAUGUUGUUAAAUCAAAGUCUGAUAAGUUUGAGGCGUAGUGUGCAGUCCAAGACGGCACAUGUUUAUGGAAAAUCGUUGCCUCAUUAAGGAAAAUGACAAGGUAGUAGGAGAUUAAAAAGUAUAAAGGUCCACAUACAUGUGUUGCAGGUAUAGUAUUGACGGUUUCUGAAUAAUACUUUUAUUAUGGAAUGUUGCAUUAUUUAAUGUACUCGGUUUAUAGGUGUUUCACAAGAUCAUCCCAAGAUGGAUUCAGCUAUGUUAGCUAGCUUGAUACUGCCCACGGUAAAAGCAGAUCCCAAGACUUCAGUGCCGGUGUUAAUUGCCAGUAUCCGUAGCCAAAUGGGGUACACGCCCUCUUACCGCAAGGCUUGGAUAGCUAAGCAAAAGGCGUUGGAGAAGAUGCAUAGUGGGUGGGACACCUCAUAUAAUAAAAUAUGGCAGUGGUGUCAGGUGCUAGAGAGAUACGUCCCAGGUGCCAUAACAGACCUUCAGACGGAACAUGCGUACUACAAUGGUCGAUUGCUACGUGGAUGUCAAGUGUUUAAACGCAUGUUUUGGACCUUUAAGAAAUGUUGAGACGUAUUUCCAUACUGCAAUCCGUUGGUACAAAUUGACGGUACAUUUAUGUUCGGGAGGUAUACUCAUCGGCUAUUGCUUGCAGUACAAGGAUUCCCCAUCGACGCCAACUUUUUUGACGAAAUGUGCUGCUAAUUUGAGCUUGAGCUCCUUGGAUUCAAUGAGGGUGAGAUCAUCGUGGUGGAUUGGGCCGAUUGAGAUCACUUUCGGCUUGAAAUACUUCAUGAAGUCUUCGGUACGGCGAAGGGUUGAUGGGACUUUUCGUAUCAAUGGAUUGGCCGUGAGGUUGGGUUGGCCGCCGUCCAAAGCUUUGUCUAAUGACUGGAGAUUCGCUAAUUCGCCUUUGCUGAGAGGGACGUCCGUGCACCGCAUAUCAAUGUUCACGGAAUCGUUGUUGGUGUUGUUGUUGAUGAUUGUUUGAUCAGUGGAAACUUCUCCGACGGCGCCGCCUCCUUCCUCCGUGGACGACAUUUUCUGGGUGAGCGUUUCGAAUUAAUUAACAAGGUGAUUUUGUGAACUGUUUUUGGCUGAGUGAGUGAUG
This 50455-nucleotide long non-coding RNA is filed under the name Gossypium raimondii (Peruvian cotton). RNAcentral describes it as "long non-coding RNA (GRAI_LNC005978)". The record is from RNAcentral. Lineage: Eukaryota; Viridiplantae; Streptophyta; Magnoliopsida; Malvales; Malvaceae.